RNAcentral lists this long non-coding RNA (77033 nucleotides) under Populus tremula. RNAcentral describes it as "long non-coding RNA (PTRE_LNC003432)". The record is from RNAcentral. Lineage: Eukaryota; Viridiplantae; Streptophyta; Magnoliopsida; Malpighiales; Salicaceae.
AUGCCUUCUGUUUCCGGUUUAACCCAGACUAUCUCAAACACUGUUGGACAGAAUGCUAACAUGCAGAGUAUCUCUGGUGUUUCACAUAACCCAGUGGGGAAUUCAAUGGGACAAGGGAUUCCCUCCAAUAUGUUUGUCAAUUCUCAGAGACAAAUGCCAGGCAGGCAACAGGUUGUUCCUCCACAGCAACAGCAGCAGUCCCAAAAUCCUCAGCGGUAUCUUUAUCAGCAGCAGAUACAACAACAGCUUUUAAAGCUCUCAUUUUGAAUUUAUCGGACAUGAAUUUUAAAAAUAUAUGUAUAACUGGACAAUGCAUUUGACACUAUGGUAACUAAUCAUCAGCCAAUUGAUUUUUAUGGGAAGAAAGAAAUUAGCAAGUGGACUAACUCUGAGGCACUUAAGGUUUGGUGUGCUGAUAAAUCAUCACCUUGCUGGAAAAUCUCAUGAUCACCUCCUCGAUGCUAAUUCUGUAAGGCAUGUGAAGUGUUUCAUCCUUAACUUGUCAAGGAACAAGGACUCUGAUGCAUGGCUAUCUAUAUUUUAUGAUUGAGAUGGUUUAGUUUAAAGAUUUUCCUGGUUAGGAGGUAAAGUGUCACUUUUGUGCUUUUCUUCCAUGAUAAAUUGUUUGAGCCUUUUUUAAAAAAAAUAUAUAAUGAUCACUUGUUGGAGGAGGGUCUCUCUGUCUGUUUGAAUGAUUACAUAACGUUGAGAUGGAGUUCCUAGUACUCCAAGUCCAAAAGGACUUGUAUUCCUAUGUAAGAAAAUACUAAUGGUCUAUCUAGGAUAGGGAAAACCUAUUAAAGCUCCUUAUUCUUUAGGAACAAUAAAAUACUAAAUAGAAAUAAAACCAAGACCUACAAUAUUCCAUAAUUUUCAGCAAGUGUGAAAAUUACAGAAAUACCCUUGUGUGCAGAAAACAUUCAAAAAAUACAUGAAUUCUAAUCUUUGGUUGGCUGUAUCAAAAUUUUUGUAGCAUCCCUAGAUUCUACAGCAGAGACUGGACAUUCAAAUGGUGCUGAUUGGCAAGAGGAGAUCUACCGAAAGGUAAUUUCUGUAGUUUACUGUUCAUGCAUGUCAUCGUCUUGCAAGAUUUCAAUGGAAAAGGUCUCCUGGAAUUUGGUACAAGGGAGUUUUAUUCAGCUAUUGUUGUGAUUAGUUAGGAAGCAUUGUAAGUUCCAUGAUUGCCGUAACUAAGAAACGAUAAAUUACUGAUAAGAUGAUUAAAGGUAAAUAUUCAGAUUUCUAGGUCAAGAGGGUUAUUUUCUUGGUACUGAUUUUUUCUAUUGCAAAUCUCUCCCUUUCAAUUUUUUCCCUGUAUUUCCAUACAUUUAUUGUGUGGUGAAUUAUUAUUUUAUUAUUUCCAAUAAGUCCAAUUGACAAUACUUCUUACUGUAAUAGACAGACUAGAAAACAAGAGUGAAUUGUUUCUGAAUAGUCAUCGUUAUAUUUGGUUAAGUGAACAGUUAUUUUCAGGAUUACAAUCAAAUUUGUUCUGAAACAUGUGACAAUGGAAGAAAGGAAAAUAAGUGGACCUAAUCCAUUGAAUCAUGACCAUGUCCAGUAUUGUUGAAUUUUAUAGAAAACGAGGUUGAAAUUCUGAAUCGUUUAAUGGCUGUAGUUGCAAUUCAUAACUGCAUAUUUGAAAUUUUUUAACUUAACUUUUUAUUUAAUUUAAAUUUUUAAUUAAAUCAUGUGAGAAUUAAUUUAAUUUAAAUCGAUUAAUUUUAUAAGUUCAAAUACAAUCUUAAUAAUCGAUAAAAAUAUGAUUUAACUUUAAAAAAAACUUCAAAAUUAUAAUUUUUUAAAAAAUUAUUGAAAUAAUGACAAAUUGGAUCACCCCCGACCUGGAUCAUGAACUUUAUUGAGUUUCAUAAAUUUUUAUAUUUAAUUAUAUGAUAAAAAUAGAUGCUCAUAAAAUUAAACAUCAACCUAAAAACUAGCACUUAUUUGAGACAAUUAUCCUAUAAAGCAAAUAAAAAUUAAUAAUGUAAAUCAUUUCCCAACUAAUUUAAUAUUAAAUGAUGAAAUUAAAAAGAAAUAAAUUAAAAAAAAUUAAAAGACCAAAAAAACAUCAUAUUGGUGGCUAAACUUGUCAAAUCUAUGAAUCAGGUAAGUUCAGUUAGUACACUAAACAUGUGAACUGGGUUAUGGACUCCACCGGGAUAGUGAUUUUUUUAAUUUAUUUUUUAUUUAACUACAUAAUAACAAAAAUAGAUGAUUGUAAAAUCAAACACCGACCCAAUAUCGAGAUUUUUUUAAAUUACAAUAGCCACGCAAAAAGCAAAACGAAACUAGUUAUGAAACGGAAUUCCCAAUUAAUCUAGUAUAUAAGGAUAAAAAAAACUAGUUUAAAAAAUUAAACUUGUCAGACUAGCAACAUAAGUCAAUCAGUCAAACAUGUGAAUAGGUCCAUAGACUUUAUAAAGUUUAAUAAUAACUUUUUUAAAAAACUAUUCUUUUUAACUAUAUAUAAAGUUUAAUAACAUAACUUUUUUUAAAAAAAAACUAUUUUUUUAACUAUAUAAGAAAAAAAUAGACAAUGAAAAAGUCAAGUUCAAUUAAAAAAAGAUAUCACAACAAACUCGUAAACUAGGAUAACCGGGUUAUCCUGGCAAACCAUGUUAACCUUAUAGAAAGGUAAAAUCUAAAGUUAUAAAGCUAAGAAGUGUUUACCAAAGUCGUGACAUCCAUUGACUUGAGUGAGAACAAUAGAAAACAAUGGUGAGUAGUUUCCGUGAGACAAAGUAACUGAACUUGACCAACCCCUGAAUCUUGUCUGAAGGGGUAACUACACAAUCCUUUGCAUCUUUGCAUGCAAUCAAUAACUAUAUUCUCUAUUGAGUUUUCAGCAUUGAUUCCACUCUGCUAUUAUAUGCUGUCCUCUGCCAUUUUAUUUUUUUAUUUUUUUAUCAAUUCUCUCAAGUUUGCUUAUGUUGCUUUCUGACUCUGGCACCUGAAGAAAUCAAGCAUAUGAUUGAUAAUGUUUUGCUGGUUAUAUGUACUUCCUAGAUCAAAGUUAUGAAGGAAACGUAUUUGCCUGAAAUAAAUGAAAUGUAUCAGAGAAUUGCUACCAAGUUACAGCAGGUAAAUUGUCUUUGUAAUUUUUUCUGAUUUAUUUGCUCACACAUGAUUCAUAAACCCCCACAGUUGAACUUUUGUAUUAAUUUUCCCCAUCAGCAUUGCUUGUCACUGUAUCAUCUGCACUAAUUACCCCCCCCCACCCCCAACCACCCCACAACCAUGCAUUGACACAGAAGAAUUGGAAUAGAAACAUUUUUUUCACUUAUGUUUUACUAGUUUAGCUACAAAGGGUCAACGCAAUUUUUAAUUCUCGUGUAUGUUAACUUUGCUUUCCAGCAUGACCCUCUUCCGCAACAACCGAAGUCAGAACAGCUUGAAAAGCUGAAGGUAUUCAAGGUCAUGUUGGAGCGCUUGAUAGCAUUCUUACAGGUCUCUAAAAGCAACAUCACACCUGCUUUCAAGGAGAAAUUGGGUUUCUAUGAGAAGCAGAUUGUAGGUUUUCUAAACCCAAGCAGAUACAGGAAGCCUAUUCCUAAUCUACAGCAAGGACAACUUCCCCAACCUCAUAUUCAACCUAUGCAGCAACCCCAAUCUCAAGUUCCUCAAUUGCAGUCCCAUGAAAAUCAACUGAAUCCCCAGUUGCAAUCAAUGAAUAUGCAAGGUUCUGUACCAAAGAUGCAGCAGAACAAUAUGUCAAGCUUGCUGCAUAAUUCGCUUUCAACUUUAUCUGGGGAUUCGACGUCACAAUCAAACAUGAUGAAUCCAAUACAACCAGGCUCCAAUUUAGAUUCUGGACAAGGAAAUGCACUGAGCUCAUUGCAGCAGACACCUGUAGGAUCUGUACAACAGAAUCUCGUGAGCAUUUCCCAACCAACCAAUGUUAACACAUUGUCAACACAAAGUGGGGCGAGUAUGCUGCAGCCAAAUAUUCCCCUUCAGUCGAAUUCCAAUUGAUUCAACACCAGCAUCUAAAACAGCAGCAGCAGCAGCAUGAACAACAACUGCAAACACAACAGCUUAAACGAUUGCAGCAACACCAGAAUUUAAUGCAGAAUCAACAGAUGCAGCAGCAGCAGCAAUUACACCAGCAAGCUCCAUCUCCUAUGCCAGGAGAUUCUGACAAACCAGUUUCUGGUAUUUCCUCACUCUUAAAUACUGGAAAUAUUGUACACCAACCAUCUGUUGCACAAGCACUGGCUCCCUCCCUUGCAAUUGGCACUCCUGGGAUAUCUGCAUCACCUUUGCUUGCAAACUUUACCAGUCCUGAUGGUGCUCAUGGCGGUGCUUUGACAACUGUUUCUGGCAAGUCAAAUGUUACAGAGCAACCACUUGAGUACUUGAUUGAAGCGGUUAGUGAUGCUCUCCUUUUGGUUUUACUCCACCCCACCCUUAUUUUGGAGGUUUCUGAAAAAGAAAACUUCUUUGUGAAUGAGAUGGUGAUGCUGUAAUUUUUUUUCCCAGGUGAAAUCUCUGUCUCCCAAAGCACUUAGUGCAUCUGUCGGUGACAUUGGCUCCGUUGUCAGUAUGAUUGACAGAAUUGCUGGUUCUGCAGCUGGUAAUGGAUCUAGAGCUGCAGCCGGUGAGGAUUUGGUAGCAAUGACAGGAUGUCAUCUUCUUUCCUUUUUGUCUUUUAUAUUUUUCACGUGUUUCUCACAAGAUGGGAACUCGAGGGAAUAAAAAGUGCUGCUGGAACUUCUUGUGUAACACAUCUUCUUUCGAUGAUGACCUCUUGGAUGGCUGCAUGAAGCUUGUUCCGCUUUAAAUUUCAAGGUUAAUCUAUUGCUAUGAGCACUGGUGUUUCAAUUUGAAACUUGAGUUGCAACUGAACUUAAAUGAAUGGUGUUGGAUUUGGGGCCUUCUAUUAGUUUUAACUUGUACAGGGUUGAAGUGAUAUUAAUCUUAAUAGUGUAUGGUUUCCUAGUUUCUCAGUCUGAAGUUGAAUGUUUUGGUGAUAUCUCGACAUCCAAAAUCACAUAGACAGCUACUGCUGGCACUUGCAGUAGCCAAUGAGCACUGUAGAGUAUAUAUUGCAGCGUGAGAUAAGGUUACGUCAUUGCAUUUUCAUAAAUUAAAGGGAUUUCUCUUCUUUUCUUUGUCAAUUACAGUGCUAUUGUAAUGUUUUCACAGAGUCCCCCCGGUUUGCAACUAAUUCACUUAUAUAUCUUGGAGCAUAGCCAUAGCCAUAAAUGGAAGGUUCUUCCGGUUCAAGAAAAUUAACCACGAAGCUCGUAACUAGAAUGGCCACGUAAACUCCUAUAUCCUGUUAUCUAGAACCUUAUUUAAUCUGCUGUGAUGAAACAUAAGCUAUAGGGUCAAGCCUGAUAUUAUUAGUGAAGUUUUUUUUUGUGUUUUUUUGUGAUAGGAACAUUAAAGAAAAAAAGUAUCCGGCUGGUUCAUGUGCGAAAAUAUGAGGCAUGUUAAGCAAUUGGACCAGACUAUCACAUAUCAAAAUCAUAUGUUUCAAUGAUACUUGUUGCAAGAGUCUCCUUAAACAAUCCAAUGUGCUUUACUUGAUAUGUUUUUUUUUUUUAAUCUCAUUUGAGUAACACAAUUGAGGUACCCUUUUCAGUUCAUUCGUAAAUCUUUCCAAAACUGAAAUUUUGGCAGGUAACUUUUGAUGGGUCAUUGGUGAUUGUAUUAAUUUGGCUACAUAAAUAGUGCAUACUGUGAAAUGAUGUUUGCUGGAGCAAUGGGGCUGGAUGAAGGAGGGGAUUUUCGAGCUCAACGAAGCAGUGGAUGUCUGGUGCAGCAGCUGCUCCAGAUGGUCCUCACUAUUGGGGCAGCCUAUCGAGAUUGUUUUCAGGGACUUUUUUAAAGACAUUGAAAACUACAAUCUUGCUUUGAUUAGUGUCAAAUCUAAGCUAAGAAAUCAUGGUUUUGUUAAGCUUUGCUAUCAUCAGAGGCUUGAUAAUGGAAGGAUUAUUGUACUCUCUUACAUACACAUAAUGUUGUGCUGAUGAGCCAAAGAAGUUCUCCAUAGACUCGCCAACUAAGAGGAAGUUAUCGACAUCCUCUUCAUGUUAUAACAUGAUUAAGUAAAGGUAAGAUAAAAACAGUUAAAAGAUGAAUAUGAAGUUUAAAAUGAAAGGGGAGAAAGCAAACCCUAAACUCAUAAGGAUCCAUUAAUCAAAUUUAGCAUGGGUUUUGAUGAUAGGGAAACAUCUGAUUAGAUGUGGCACUUAUUUGAUAAAAUAUUUGUAAGAAGAGUGAAAUAACAUUGCAAUGAUAACUGAGACGCAUAUAAUUACUUUUCAGAAUCUAAAAAAAAAAGAUUAACAAACAUCUUAUGCCAUUCAUGACCAUAUUAUAAAUUUUGAGGACUUAAAAGGUCUAUAAGUGCCAACAUUUGUCUAACAACAGCAGCAACAACGACCUAGACAAAAACUCCCUGAAACUUAAUCAUGUUAAUUUUCAAUAACGAAGAGGUUUUACAUGGUUAAGCAUGAACUCAACCAUAUUAAAAAAUCUGGACAGCCCCACUGCAAGAUGUUCAAUUCGUGCUUCGUACGUAAAAGAAAUACAAAGAUUCAGAUCCAUCCUAAAAACACACAUAACUUAUCAACCUCAACCUACAGGCAAACAAAGGUUGAAACUGAGGUAAGACAUCUAAAGCAAAGGACAUUUCAGCCUCUGUUUUUCCUGACAUUUUUUUUCAUCAAGUGACCUCUACAAAGACCUGCUGUAACAUAUAUGUAUGACCAACACAAACAAACAUGCAAAAAGAAAUUUUUUCAGGGGAACCCAAGUCGAAAAAACUUUUUAAAAAAGUGUUGUCUUCGAAAUCAAAGCCUUCUAUCAUCAUAUGAAAUUUUUUUAAAAGGAAAAUCCUCGUACAACCUAACACAAAGCAAGAAUCCAACAAAAUCAAAGACUAAUGAAAAGAAAGACCAAAGAACUGAAAACAAACCAAGGCUGGAAUUAAGGGAAGAAUCUAAAGCAAAAUGAAACUCCAGCCUCUUAUUUCCGCGGCACAAAGUUUUUUCCUCACCCAAGUUACCUCUAGAAAAACCUGUUGCAAUAUAUAUAUAUAUAUAUGGAUAAGCAACAUAAAUAAACAAGCAAAAACUAAAACUUUUUUAAGGAAACCCAUGUCGAAAAAACCAUAAAGACAAUGUUGCCUUUAAAAGCAAAGCUUUCUAUCAUCUCUAAAGGUAAAAAGAUGUGUUCCCAAGCACAAAAGAAAUAUUUUUUUCUGAGGGAAAAAACUUUAACAACCUAAUACAAAUCAAGCACCUAGCCUAGCCAAAACAAUUGAAGAAAAAAGGUCGAUCUAGACUUUUCCCAAACACGUAGCAUGCAAGAAACACAUGUAAAGAAAACCAAGUAAACUUCCUUUCAAGACACGUGCCACCUUGUGCGAAACAAAGACAACACCACCUCUAUAAAGAAUGGAUAAUAGAGGGCUGAAGCUAACCAAAAGACUAUGCCCAAGAAACCUCAUAACUGUAGCAAAAAAGGCAGCCAAAGCCUCAAUAAACACACAUAUAGCCUAACAAUGCAACAAAAAACAGAGAGACAAUCAACAAAGAGUAAGGCAUUUUCCGAAGAAACAAAGAAAUUUAAUACCCUAAACUAAGCAGCAGGUAGAAGGCAAAAACUGAGCGUAAAUUUUCAGGAAGGGACGAACAAAAAACACCAAAAAGAAGGUAGAGAAAAAUGCAGACUCAAAUUCACAACACCCAUUUUCUUUUCAUUGGAACACUUUAGAUAGUUUAUUAAAUUUAUAAUGAUCUGAUUUCUAUGCAUAUAUAAAAAUCAACUUAAUGAUCAACUCUCUAUAAUUUCAGCAUGACUAAAAAAUCCAAACUAAUAAACUAUUAAUUAUUUUAGUCAUUUUAAUAAACAUUUUAGUUAUAAGUGACAAAAUAUUUUCAACAAUUCAUAUUGAUGCAUUAACAUGUAAUUUUAGAUUGUUUAACUUAUUAGUUUCUUUAUGAGUUACUUAUUGUAAAGCAUGUUAUAUAUCUCUAAGCAUUUUUAUUUAAUAUAAUUAUGUCAAAUUCAUUUUUGCCCGAUGUAUAAUAUAAAAUAUUCAUGGCUUUAGCAUUUAUGAAAAGUAACUUUUUAUCGUUGUCCGUAUAUUUACUUAUAGUUUUAGAAAUUUCAAUACUAUUUUCAAUUUUUAUAGGUCCAUGAGAUCUAUUUUGUAUGGAUAACUACAAAUUAAAAUAAAUAGAUUCACGAUAAAUUAUCAUAAAACAAUUUAUUACCUACUCCUUGGUGCUAGCAAUGUAAUUGUAAUAUUAUUUUUCAAGCUUACUCAAUCUCUGAUUCUUGAUAACACAACCAAGAAUAAAUGAUGAACUCAAAUUUUUAUGUUACUCUCUGUAAGAAUUUUGACUCAAGAAAUGUAAAAGAGAAGAGUUUUAAAAAGAUUAGAAGUUUUCUUCAUUAUCAAAACUAUGUCAGAAUUUUCUCUUUUUAUAGGUAAUUUUGACAUUUAAUUUUAAAAUAACUUUUAAGACAAAAGAUUACAACUUUCUAGUUUAAAAGUAUACGAAUAUAUUUCAAGUAGAGUUUUAACAAACAUAACUUUUCAUCCACAUCCUAACAAUCCCUCCACGUGAUAAAAUAAAAUACAAAGUAGAUACGAAAAUAGAAAGUAGGAGCGAAAAGUCAUUGCAUCGAGCAAGAUAGGUUUUGACCUUGAACCUUCCAUAGUCGAACUAUUGGAUUCACUCGGCUAACCAGCGAAUAUGAUGUCUUGAGUUGUUUAGCUGUUUGUGUGAAACCAAAUAAUAGAGAUUACACAAUUCAUUUUCUUAUAAUUUUGGUUCUCACAGUUAUAUUCAUUUUGGCCUUGAAUACGUCUUGAUUUCAAAGAGCAUUAGAGAAUUUGCAUUAUCAAUUCUCAUAGAAGUGGUCUCGUUUCAAACUCACAUAGGUAAUUCUUAUUAAGAGUAUCAUGUAAUACUUCUCAAGCUAUAAAAGUCAUUAAAAGCUUAGCUUAUCCUAUUUUGCUGCUGAUAGCACUUUAUAUAAUAUAAAUGGGUAAGAGGGACACUAUUGAAUUGACAUAUGAUUUGGUUGUCUAUUUGAACCUAGAACUUGAAAUCUCCAAUAAACUAGAUAAUUCAUUGAACUAUCUUAAUCUCAUUCUCCUUAGUGAUUAUCGACUUGCUCUAUUGUUAAGUAUUUUAUUAGCGAAUCCAUGAUAUUAUCAUUUAACUUUACAUGGUCAAUAAAGAUAAUCUCAUUUUAGAUCGAUUAUCUUACAAUAUUGACAAUUGUAUCAAUAUAUAUAUAUAUAUUAUACCCUUUCAAUUGCAAAUUAGCUAUUGAAAAAUUACAAUAUUAUUUCUUGAUUUACUCAAUAUUUUUAUUUUUGAUAUUACAUCCAAGAAUAAAUAAUAAGCCAUAAUUUAUCUGAUAUUUUCUAUAAAAAAUUGGAUAAAAAAAAUAUAAUAAAAAAUGAGAUAUUUUAUUUUAUUUUAUUAGAUACAACAGAGUGUGCAACGAAAACAUGGUGGUAUUUAUUGAUUUUUGAAGUGGACUUUAAAUGAUAGUUUAAGAAAUGAAAUUUUGGAGAUAAGUUUUGAAUAAUUUGUUUGAUCAUGAUGGUAAGACUUCGGUUCUUAAAGUUUAAAUUUGAGGACGAAUUUUGUUUAACGGGGGAAGUGUUGUAAGACCCAAACUUUUGGCCCAAACCUAAGCCCAAGUCAGCCCAAACCCAACCUAAGUUAACCUAGGUAUUUAAGGAAGAGUUGAAAGAGAAUUACUUUUCUCUCUUCUAAUUCUUGUAACCGCCGUGACCCUCCCCUACUCAAACCUAAGAUUUUAGUUUUUGAUCUUGAGUUUUCGGUUCAAGAAAGGUGAAAUAGCAAGUAAGUGGUUCUCUUUCAUAUUACUUUUGAUUAUAGGUUGUUUAUGGAAUGAUUAAAGAAGAGAUUAGGGUUUUAAGGCUUAGAAUUUUAUGUUGUUAAGAUUGAUUUAUGAUUAUUAAGGGUUAAUUUAAUAUAGGUGAUUAAUUAGUAUGUUGUUAGAAAUAAGAAUUUGUGAGUUGAUUUGUUUAAAUUAAUUCUUAUGGGGUUAAGAAAUUCAUUUUUACCUUUCUGGAAAAUCUGGACGGAAUGGUCUUGAGGUUGAAGAUAAUCAAAUUUUAUUUUGGUCCUUGAUUUAUGAAAAUUUCAGUUUAGUCCCUAAACUUUGGAAAAUUACAAUUUGACCCCUAAAUGUAUUUUGAGAUUCUGGACAGUGUUAUUAUGAGGUUAAUGAUGAUGAAUCUCAGUUUUAUAAUUGAUUUGGAAUAUUUUUAGUUUGGUCCUUUAAUUUUGGGAAUUUACAUUUUAGUCCCUAAACUUCAUAAAAUUACAGUUCGGUCCCUGAUUCAUUCUAGACAGAAUUGAGGAUGGUUUAUGGGUGAAAUUUCAGUAUGGUUAUGCAUUUAUAGUUUGGUCUAGUUUUGAUAAAAUUACGUUUUGAUCCCUGUUUUGGAUAAUUGUCGUUUUAGUCCCUAAACCUAAGAGACUAAACAUGGUUUUAUUUUAUGCAUUGAAAUCUUUUAAUUGUGUUGCUUUGAGUUGCUUUUGAGUAUAUUUUGUAUAUUUAUUGUAGGUUCUCCUAACGAUCCUCAAUAGGUUUUUCGGGUCUUUCAUCUGAUAUUCCUUUUGGUUCUAUAUUUUCCGAGUGAGUGGGAUAAUCUUUAAUAUGCAUAUAUUAUAAAUAAAUAUGUAUGUUGAUUAUACAAUGAGUACAACUAGUUAAUUUCUUGAAUAUUUAUAUAUGUUGCUUUAUUGUCCGAGUACUCAUUUAUUCUUGAAUUUGCACUCGCAAUCUUCGAAUUAAAUUCUAUUUGAUAUGAUAUACGUUUCUUUGAUGAUUCUGUAAAUAUCUAUUAUGCCUUGAUAUAGGACCUGUCAGUAACUCCAUGCUAACGGAGAGUAGUUAGCCUAUGUGCACAUAGUAUUCUAUAUAUCUAGCUGGUGAGAGAGGCAUUAGCCUGUGGCAACUGAUCAUCCCACAGUGGUCACCUUCGGGUGUCAUCUGGUCAUUUUUUAGUGUCAUCUGGUCAUCUUCGGGUGUCAUCUGAUCUCUGACAUGUAUUCCACUACGUUAUGAUAAUAUGUUUAGUAUGUAUAUGUAUAUCAAGAUAAAUCAUCUUGCAAACUAUUAAUAUCUAAAAUAUCUAAAAUGUAUAUUAAAUAUUAUUCCCUCACUGAGUUGGUUGAACUUACCCCUCAUUCUUAAUAUUAUUUCAGGUUCUUAGUUUCUGAUAGCAGUUGGACUUGUAGAGUGUUCCUGCUUCUUCAAUUUUGGUCGGUAUGCCUUGCUUGUUUUGCGAGGCUUUCCUUUUAGUUUUGAUUCGAUGUCUUAGACACUCCACUAUUACCUUGUUUUAAUUAAGUUUGGAUUUUGACAAUGUAAUGGGUAUUAUAGAUUAUUGUUUUUGUUUUAAUUACUAAUGAGGAGUUUUAAACUAUCUUUUGGUUUUAUAAGUUUUGAAUAAUAUAAUAUUUCUGAAGAUUAUAAAAUGCUGCAUAUUUUUGAAUAAAUUGUUCUUUUGAUAUGUCUGUUCUAAGACUUAGCGUAGAUGAGGUGUCCUUUCGACACCGCUUCUACGUUGCCGAUCAUGGACCCGAGAUUCGGGUCGUGAUAUCUCUCCCAGGAUAGUGUGGAGAUUAGCACGGUUCAGUCGUGCUUGAUGAAAAAGAAGGAUACCCAUUACUGGACUGUUAGUGUCACAUCGUGGGUGAGAGAUUCGUGACAAUGAUCUGCUGCCGUUUCCUUUGAAUCGGUGGGAUGAAGGAGAUGAAUAGCUUGUUUUGAGACGACGCUUUUUCACCCGAAAAUGACUAUUUUAAUUUUGCCUCUAGAUUAGCUUUCGGUGUCAUUUACAAAACCGUUAUUGGUUUUCAAUUUAAUUAAUUUAGUUUUUAAUUCCUCUUUAACUUUUAAUUUUUUAAAAAAUUAUUCUUGAAAAAAUCAAUUAACCCCUUUAUAGUAUCACAAUCUAUUCACUUUGGUACUUGGAUUUUAAUUUCUUGCAAUGUUUACCCAAAUCAGCCCCAAACUUUAGUAUUUCUUCAAUUAAACCCCAACUUUUAUUAAUUAAACUAAUUCAAAGCUUAUGUAAGUCCCCAAACUUAUCAAUUCUUUCAAUAUCUGACCAAAUUAACUUCUAAAUUUAUAAUUACAUCUUUAUUGGUCCUUAAAUUCACAAUUUGUGUUAUCUUGAUCCAAUUCUCAAAUUAUUAUAUUUUCAUUUUUUAUUUUUAUUAAUUUUUUUAAAAAAGUUAAUAAAAUAGGUUAUAACACAUGAUAUAUGGUUGGUUUAAAGGAACCGAUUGAUUUAUAUAUCAGAUUACAAAUCGAGAGGAAUCACGGUUGUUUUAUAAAACUGCGAAAACUUUCAACCAUAGAUGUUUUAUUCAUGCGUGUUUGAAAUGUGAAUCAUAUUGUUUAUUCUUACUAGGAAAGGCCUUUUACCUGUUCCGGAAGCUCUGUUAGCAAUCUUUCUGUUACUAAUAUAUAUAUUUUUCAAUUCAAUUUUUCCUUCUCCAGGAAACAUUUUAAAUUCCUCUACAUCCUUAGGCUUUGGUUCUAUUGAAUGCCACCUUCCAUAAUCGACCAGCGCAGCUGCCAUUGGAUGAUUUGAUUUACUCUCGAUGCUUGAUACCCUGAGAAACUUGCAUAAACAAUAUUACUUGCCAGUGAAGAGUAAAGUUCGCCAUAAUUGAAGAAUUAUGGACCUAGUCUUCACCAAUAAAGUAAUGCUAGUGGAAUCACUGCUACGCCAGCUGUCAUGAAUAUGAACAGUGAACUAAAAUGAAAACUUUCCCACAAAAUGAAAGGUAGGAUUGUCUAGCAAUGGAGCUGACGGUUCAUUCUAAACGAAUGAUGUGAAGGGCUGUCCAAAUACAGUUUUUUGGGGGAAAAAAAGAAAAAUCCAACCACAUCAAUUUAAUAAAUAAAUUGAACCGAUUUGAAUGGCAUGUUCAAAUUAAAUGUUACGAUUCACAGUUUAAUUCAAUUCAUUUUUUUUUUAUUAAAAAACCCAAUUUCAUCCUUGGGUUUUUUAGUUGAUCUUUUUAGAUAGACUCUAAUGUAAUGUGCAUGGUUUUUUUUUUUUUUAGGUUUUUUUAAUUUUUAAUUUUUAAAAAUCAAUUGUUUGGUUUCAUUCCGGUUUAAUUAUUUUUUAUUCUCUUAAAUCUAAAACAAAUUUAAGAUCUUUUAAAACUUUCUAAUCGUUUUUUUUUAAUUUGAUAUUGGUUGGUUUUUUCAAUUAAUUUUAUGUUGAUUUUUUAAAGUUAUUUGGUUAUUUUAUUCACUCAUGGAUAUAAGUAUCUCGUUAUAAGAACUAAAAAGAAAAAAAACAAUUACAUGUCGCAGCCAUGUUUUCACAUGGCCUCCGUAAAGUUCGAACAUUGAAAUGGACUCUAGACAAUAAGAAACUGUUUGUAAUUUUAGCAGAAUUGUUUUUUAAAAUGUUUUUUUGUUUAAAAUUAUUAUAAUAAUAUUUUUUAAAUUAAACAUCAAUAUAUCAAAAUCAUCUAAAAUAUUAAAUAAAUUAAUAUUAUUAUUUUUUUUUGAAAAUCCGGUUAACUGCAGGGUAAAGAUGUGUUUGAAGUAUGGUAGUGGUAGUUUUUCAAAGUGAUUUUUACUCGAAAAUAUAUCAAAAUAAUAUUUUUUAUUUUUAAAAAAUUAUUUUGACAUCAGCCCAUCAAAACAAUGUUCAUAAAAUUGAGCAUCAACCUAAAAAUAAACACUUAUUUGAAAACAUUAUUCCUCGAAAGCAAACAAAAAGCAAUAAUGCAGUUCAGUUACUAACCAAAUCAAUAUUAAAUGAUAAAAUAAAAUAUUAAAAACAAUUAAAAGACAAAAAAAAUAUAUUCUAAUGGUGGGUAAACUCAUCAAACCUGUAAAUCGAGUAAGCCGAGCUAAUAUGUAAAACCUGUAAAUUGGGUCAUAGACUCUACUAGAAUUAUAAUUUAUUUUUUAAUUAUUUUUUAUUUAACUAUAUGAUAAUAAAAAUAGAUAAUUACAAAAUCAAAUACCAACUUAACACCGAGAUUUUUUUAGCUCGUGAUAACAUCACAAAAUGUGAAACAAAACCAAUUAUGAAACUAAAUUUACAGUUAACUCAAUAUCCAAUAAUGAAAAAAAAAAUAAUUUAAAAAAGUUAAUCUUGUCAAAUCCACGAACCAAGUUAACUAGCCAAACAUAUCCUGAAAUUUAUAAAGUUUAAUAAAAUAACUUCUUUUAAAAUUUAUUUUUUUAACUAUAUAAGAAAAAAAUAAACGAUAAAAAAAUCAAGUUUAAUUAAAAAAAAAAGACACCCCCACAAAACUCAGUAAAUUAGGGCAACUUAGGUUACCUAGCAAACCCAUAAACUAUGUUAACCUUAUAGAAAUGUAAAAUAAAAAGAAACAAAUUAUAAAGUUAAAUUCUCAACCAUCUUAAUAUUAAAAGAUAAAAUCGACAAAAAUAAAUUUGAGAAAAAAUCAUAACAAAAAUUAAAAAACAAAAAGAAAAAUGAGAGAAAGCAAAACACUAUGAUUACUAUUGUCAUUCAUAAUGCAAUCUGUGUAGGUGAAUAAUGGUUUUCUCACACCCUUUAAUUUUUGUUAUUGUAUAAAGUUUAAUAACAUGAUUUUUUAUAUAUAUUUUUUAAUUAAAUGAGCAAAAAAACUCAUAAAAAAGUCGAGUUUAAUUUUUUAAAAAAAAACAACAAAAAAAAAAAAACUCGUAAACCAGAGCACCCUAGGUUACCUUAGCAAACUCGUAAACUACACUAAUCUCAUGUAAAGGAAAAUCAAAAGAAGCAAAUUACAAAGCUUAUUUUUCAACAAUUCUAAUUUUAAAAGAUAAUAUUGAUAAAAAUAUAUUGAUAUCUGAUUUCAGUCUGAUUAUCUGCGUAAAAUAUCUCAGAAGAUGUUUGCAAUGGAGAUCAAGUCUCAAAAUACCAUACCCACUGGCAAUGGAUCGAGAUUUGACAAAUUAAUACAAUGCUGUAGCCAAACUAAUACAAUCACCAACGACCCAUCAAAAGUGAAAUGAUGUUUGCUAGAGUAAUGGAUGUCUAGUGCAGCAACUGCUCCAGAUGGUCCUAGCAGUAUAUCGAGAUUGUUUUCAGGGACAUUUUUAAAGACAUUGGAAACGACAAUCUUGCAGCGAUUAAUGCCAAGUAUGAACACGUCAAAUCUAAGCUAAGAAAUCAUGGUUUUGUUGAGCUUUGCUAUCAUCAGAGGCUUGAUGAUGGAAGGAUUAUUGUACUCUCUUACGAACAUAUAAUGCUGUGCUGAUGAGCCAAAGAAGUUCUCCAUAGACUUCCUAACUAAGAGGAAGUUGCCAUCUAUUUCUAACUCAACAAGGAAAAGAGUCUUGGGCAAGUCAAACAUGAAUUUUGACCAGUUAGGAAACCAAUGGCUGGCAUGUUUUUGGGUGUUUUCUUUUUUUGUUUUCUGAGAGCCAUAACUGGCAUUUUUGUUCUCUCAUCAAGUGCAGACGACACCAAAGGCAGAACACUCUGGUGUUCUUGACAAUUCGACACAUUGCUUUCUGAGGAUUAGGUGAAUAUGGUUCAGUCUAUGCCAUAAGUAUGUCAAGCUACCAUUAUUUUUUAUUUUUAUUUUUGUAUUCUUUUUUGAACAGUAACAAAAUUCAUUAAUUUAGGAAAGGGCAAAGCCCAGAUAACAAAUAACAUCCACACUUGCAAGGAUUUAUUCGUCAGGGAUAUUGAUUUGUUCGUAUCCUAUCUCUUUGAAAAAAAAUGUGGAUUAAUUAAUCUAUGCUCAGUAUAGUAUUUCCAGGACUAUUCUUUCUUUAAUAUGUUAAUUAACACCCCGAGCCUGCCCAGUUUUUUUUUUUUUUUUUUGUAGUUUGCUAAUGUGAUGUAGAAUUAUAUAUAAAUCAAUCUCAUCAGAAGAUGCAAAUAUGGGCAUAAAAUAUAUCGUGGGAACUUCAAUUUAGUCGCUGAAAUAUACUUAACUUCAUAAAAAUUGAAUUCUCAAAUAUUAAGAAAGAAAUACAAUACAAAAUAGCAGACUAUACAUUACAUUCAGGUAAGAAUUCACAUCCAUGCCCGUAUAUAUUAAAGCACUACUAUCUUGGUGAUAAGCUGCCAGCUGCAUUCAUUUUCUUUUUUUUUUUCUGACAAAUAUACUUGUUAAGUUACAUUGCAUACAAGUAAGAAUUCAUAUACAUUCCCAUAUUAAGCUCUAUUAUUUUUGUGAGCUUCGUCCAUUUUCUUGAUUUCUGACGAGUAUAUUUAUCGGCGAAAGACAACAGAAAAUUGUGCAGACCACACGUUUAUCCACAAUGCAGCAAAACAAACACUAUUCUGCAGAAGCUUUAAAUGACCAAUCCACGGCUUUCUCCAGUCUUGGAGUUUCUACUGCAUAUACAAUUGUUAAAAGAGCCAAUUUGUUAUUAGUCUUGGAAACAAAAACAAUAUAGAGAGAUAUUUUUUUUAAAAAAAAAAACGAGACUGCUUCAUAGUUUCUGCAGUCUUUACAAGAUGAGUGCUAUUCAUUUUCAAGUAAUACAGGAAAGCAUGUAUGAUAAGUAGUGGAUAUAAACUUUGAAUGUACAGUAAGUAUAUUCAAUGAAUGCAAUAAAAAAAAAAUUUCAACGAAAAUGAAGUGAAUGAAAAUUAGUGCACAAAUCAAGUGUUCAGGGGUUCAAAUAUGAGCCAUAGUAAGUUGGAGACUUGGAUUAUCGACAUUUAGUUUCCACUAUCCUUGAGUUAUUAUUAAAUUAAUUUCACAAACCAAGUUAAUUGGUUACUAAAUGUAUACAAAAAAUUAUUAGGCGAUUUUUUUCCCCCAAGAAUCAAAGUCUAAUAACAUUUUAAAUUUCAAUUUCAUGAUUGUUAUUUUUUAAUUUUAACAAAGUAUCAUUAAAGAGGUAUUUAUAUGAAAGCAAGUUAAUUUUAUCCAUUGGUUAAUCUUAAGAAUUAGUGGUAAGCCAGAUUUAAAGGUGGAUACAGUUCAAAUUUCAUAUCUUUACAAGGGAAGUUGUAAGAGGGAUGGUUGGAUCAAGCAUUGUAGUCAAAGCAUCUACAAAAGAUACUCCAGCAAAAGCAACUUUAAACAAAUCAGGCCUCAUAUUAAGGACGGAGCCGAUAAGCAACCCCCCUGCAUUCCUUCCUUCAAUACACAGUUUUUCCUUUGCACAGAACCUCUGUUCUAUUCAAUACUCAGCACAUGCAAUAAUAUCCGUGAAAGUAUUCUUUUUCUUUAAGUACUUCCGAUUCUCGUACCACUGCCUUCCCAUUCCACCACCUCUACGAAUAUAAUACCCCAAGCUAUAGAAGUCAAAAUCAAGAAUAAAAAAUAACUAAAUCAUAGCUAAUCUAGCUUUUUAAUAGUGUAAAUUUUUUUAAAAAAAAUUUAUAAUGGAGAAAGAUAAACAAAAUCAGAAAGCAGGGCAGGUUGGGGGAUUUGGAUCUUUGCCCAAAACUUUUGUGAUGUUUUGAAAAUAAAAGUGGAUAUAAAAAGGUAACAAAGGGGCUUGGAGGCUUGGAAGGAGGUAUAAAUUAUAAAACUUGAUAUAUAUAUAUAUAUAUAUAUAUAUAUAUAUAUAAAGGAAAUAGGGAUCUGAAAAUUGAGGGUGAGUGACAGCAGGAGAGAAGAAAAGGGAAAGAAGAAAAAGAGAAAAGAAGGAAAGAUAAAGGAAGGAAAAGAGAGUUAAAGAAAAUAAGUAUAAAGGUAAAAUUUAGGUUUUGAUAUGCAUAAAUGUUCUUUUUUUUAGCUUUAAAUUUCUGUUUUGUUGAAAAUUAGUGUUUUGAAAAUUUUGUUUUGGUUGAUUGAUAAAUUAAUUUCAAUGUUAUGAGUUGUUUGUUACGAGUAAUUAAUUAUAUAGUUGAUUUUGAAAGAUUUUAGGUAAAAAUAAUGAUUUUGAGUUAUGAUUUGUUUAAAUGAUGAAUUUGAGUUAGAAAUCUUGAUAUAAUAGUAGGUGAUAUGUGGAAAUUCUGGUUUGAGGUUGAAGAUGACAAACUUCCAGUUUGGUCCCUUAAUUUUUAAAAAAUUACAGUUUAGUCCCCAACCUUUGAAAACAUUACAUAUUGGUCCCUCAAUUUGUAAAAAUUACAGUUUCAUCCCUCAAUUUGUAAAAAUUACAGUUUAGUCCCCAACCUUUGAAAACAUUACAGAUUGGUCCCUGGAGCAUAGUCCGACAUGAAUUUAUGACAUUUUCAAUUUGGUCCUCCCAUUUGGUGAAAUUACAAUUUGACCCUAAAAAUUUGAUAAAAUUCCAGAAUGAUCCCUGGAGCAUAAUUAGAGAUUCCGGACAGAAUUGAGGAUGAAUUUCCAGUAUAGUCAUGAAUUUAUGACAUUUUUAGUUUGGUCCUCUAAUUUGACAAAAUUAUAAUUUGACCUCUAAAAAUAUGAUAAAAUUCUAGAUUGGUCCUUAGCUUUAAUAUUAGUUUUUUUCAUAUUGGUUUGAUGAAUAAUUGAGAGUCAUUUAGUGAAUUAUCAUCAAGUUUUAUUAUUUGUUUUCUUAUGACUUAGGGUUUCGGGAAAACCGUUUAACUUUUUUGUUUUUGAAAAACAUUACUAGUUGAGUUCAAAAAUAUAUAAGGUUAUGGAAUAAACUUUUAGUUAAAUAUAUUAAAUAAGUUGUAUAUUCUUUUUUUUUAUAAAAAUCAAGAAUCUUUGAACAGUUUGAAGGUCUUCGUAACCUCAAGAGGUAAGUAGCACAUUCACAUCAAGAUUGAUGAGAAUUUCUUCAGCUAAGUAAUUGGUAUAGCAACUUCACUUUCAGAGAUUAUUCUGUAUGUUCCACUGUUUUUAUUCAUGAAUAUUUUCAUGGCAAUAAUUGCAUGAAACAAUGGACCAUCUCUUCAACUGCUGAGCUUUCCUUUAUAUUUGCAGCUGUAAUUUGGGAUAGCAAUGUCUCUGACAUGAAGUUUGGAUGGCUUGAUCUCUUUGCAUCAAGAAUGUCAAGUUACUUAAAUGUAUUAUUCACAAGGUGACUACAAGAGACACAUUGGAUGGUGCUGGGCCCAUGAAAGCUUGAUCUGUUUUUUGUUCGUUGUUCAAUUGAGGAUUUGUAGAUUGUUCCGUUCGAUCCUCUGUCCUUGGAUCAUUCAUGGGUGUUUUGACAUGUACUUAUUUCACUCUUAAUAAAGUAUUUCCCAUUAUUAGUGCUUAAUUUUUCAAUCCAAACCUUGGUUUUUUACCUGGAUCAAUUUGAAUCUGAAAGAAGUACCAAAAUCUAGUGUUUCAAGUACUCAGUGGUUGCAGGGGACAGCUCUCCUUCCUUCGAACUCUGGUUCGAGUCCCAGUAAAAGUGGGGCUGGAGAGUUUGUUCCCCUCGUCUCUAUUGAGUCCUCCCUGUACGGUAUGCUUGUCAUCCCCGCGGUGCCUUACAUGCUCACUGGGUUUGCAGGAUGUUCAGUGAGCCGUGGAAUUAGUCGUGGUGCGCGCAAGCUGCCCGGACAACCACGUAAAAAAAAAAAAAAAAGUUAACAGAAAUAAAUGUACCUUUGCCUGUCCCUUCAACAAAAUGCUGAGCUGUAUAUUAAUUCUCAGAGGCAGUGAUAACUAGCUGUUCUAACUAAUCCCUAUACUUUUAAAUAUUUUUACAAUGCGGUCCCUUCAUUAAUUUUUCGUUAGUAAGAUGUUGAGCUUUCAGCAAUAUUUCCUUAGUUUGUGCCGCUAACUUAACGGUAAAAUGUAAUUCAAGGAUCAAUUAGUUAUUUGAAUGAACUUGAGGGAUUAAUCUGUUUGUUUAACACAAAUACAGACACUAGUUAAAUAGAAUUUAACUCAAAUUUUAAUUAUCAUAUGCGUGCGUGCGUGCGAGCGAGCAAGCUAGUGUUUACUCGUUAAUUUUUUUAGAAGGAAUCUGGAAAAGAAUAAAGUCAUCCAUUUCACUUGGGCCCAGCAUUCCUCACCUCUCCCCGCCCGAGCUCUCACUCCCUCCCUCCCUCCUCCGCCUCUCGGAAACCGCCGCCGCCAAGAAGGCUUCAGAUUUCUGCCAGGUGCUUCUAUUUCUAUCAUGUUUUUGUUUUUAAAAUUUAUGGGUGUUUUCAUUUAUUUUAUUGUAAUUAUUACUCAGAGACAGAAAUUCUAUUUUAAUAAGUAAAUUAAAAAAAAAUAAUCGAUCCGAUGAAAUCUCUGCUAGUGAACGCAAUUCGAAUUUAAUAAGUAAAUUAAAAAAUAUAUAUAAUCGGAUCCGAUGAAAUCGUUGCUCGUGAACGCAAUUCAAAGAAACGCACAAUCAGCCGAUUCUAAUAAUUUCUUUUUCAAUUUUUUCCCCUUAAUUUACAUGAUAUUAUCCGAUUUUUCUCACAGUUAUUGUUGUAAUAAUCAAGCCCUGAAUUCUUGAACCCAAAUUUAUUUUAUUUUAUUUUAUUUUUUAGUGGAGAAUAGAAAUCAAUUCAAAUCUUUUAGGCUCGAUCGAUAAUUUGUUAAUUAGUUUAUGCAGCAGCUGGAGUGGAAGAGAUAUUACAGCCGGAAUGGCCGAAAAAUGAGCUGUUUGGUGGAUUCUUCUUUUUUGGAAUUUACUGAAUUCUUCAAAAUUAUUGUGUUCUUAACAACAAUACGAUAUCCUUGGGUUUUAUGCUCGCUCACACAUGGAAACAAGAAAGAAAGAAAAGAACUUUAAAUUUUAUAAUUUGGUCAUGUUAACGUGAAAAAAAUAAAAAUAACAGGUCUGCCUUGAUAACCCUACAUGAUAUAUCUUUCUUUUUAGGACUGCUCAGCUGGUCUUGAGUAUGAGGUGAAAGCUUGAGUAGGACAGAUAGUCCUAACCAAGGACUGUAUUGUGAUUGAUUGAGUUGAAAGUUAAGAGCAUGUGAAAGUGUAAAACAAAUGACCUAGUUCACUUCACCCCAAAGGCGCACCUGUGCAUCUAGUUAGGAAGAACAUUUUAUAACUUACCUCAAGGUCGAGCAUGGUCAAGGUUAUUGUGUUGUCAAUUCCGAGAAAGAUGUGCCUGCAAAUUUAAUCUUAUUUCAACAAGAGUUGUUAAGUUGAUUCUUAUCAGUCUGCUCUUUAGAGUUGAUGAUAACAUGAAAUAUUCAUGGUUAAUGCUUGUUGUUUUCUUCUUCAUUUUCCUAGCUUAAAACAUCCUAGACAAUCUCUUCAUGUUCUAUUUUCUGGGAUAUUUAGACUGCUGAUAUUCAUCGGGGAUUGAAAAGCCUUGUUUUAUUACUUUGUUUUGUUUUCUUCUUCUUUCUUUAUUCUUUUGGGGAUGUGGUAUUCUCCUCUUUCUAUUUACACUAUUUCCUCCACACAACAUUUAUUCUUUCAGAAAAGUUAAUUCAUACAUAAAUAACAAGAACGGGGGGGUUUGACGGUAUGUAUUUGGUUGCGAGUAAAAAUUGGUAAGCACUCGAAAAAGGUCCUGUGCUGAAUCUAAAUUGGUAAGAUGUGAUAUACUGAUAUCUAGAAAGAUAACUUAAUCUAUCUAUUGAAGUAAAGCAUUUAAAUGCGUAUACAAUGUUUUUGGAACAUUAAAUAUCUAUUUGAUCAGAAUCUGUGAACCUAAAACCACAAUGAAUACAAAUGCAAGUUUGUCAUUGUAAACAUUGCAUCAAUGAUGCAUCACGAGUGUUGCUAGAAAACAUCAAGUUAAAAUUGAAGCACCAUGAGUUUCUCUAUGGCUUGGUUUACCAACACUCACCAUCUGUUGGUGCGGCAAUUUAUGAACUAGCUGGCUAGUUUUUUGCUUCCUUGGUUUUAGAAGCACCAUGAAGAUUCAGGCCCAAAUCUUGCUUAUAAUACCCGUCUACCUGAAUACCCAAGAUCCUAGCACCUUGCCUUGAAUGGUCGUGUAUAUUUGUUAUGGCUGUUCAGAUUUUAUGCAUCCAUAUUUGGUAGAAUUCUUUAAUAAAGUACAUGCUAUUAGAUGGAAGUUCUUUUUAAAUCUAUUCAAGUCUGAAUAAACUGAUAUUCCAAUUUUCAUGACUUUGAUGUGCUCUUACUCUUCUGUUGUUCCUGACUUUCUUUUUAGGGUCUAUUCUAACAUGCAAUAUAAUUAAUUUUUUUUUUUUGUGAUAGAAGUGAUUUUUUUGGUUGGCCAAACCCCAUGGAUGCCAAUAAUUGGAGGUCCACUGCCCCAGGUGGAGAACCUGUGAUGGACACAGGUGAUUGGAGAACUCAACUGCAACCUGACUCACGGCAAAGAGUAGUCAACAAUAUGUAAGUAUCUGUUUCCUAAUAUGUGCAAGUGCUGCAAAAUAGUAAAUCUUGUAUUUAAAUGAAAGAAAAAGAGAAGGGCAAAAGGUUAAUUAAAAUCAGCAGGACUGCCAUGAGGCAACCUCAAGUAUCAUACACCUCUGUUUUUGUCUUUUUCAUUUUUCACGUGUUUCUCACAAGAAGUGAACUUGAGGGAAUAAAAAGUGCUGGGAAGUAAUUUUUGUUUGAACUUCUUGUGUAACAUAUUGUUUUGAUGAUGACCUCUAGGAUGGCUGCAUGAAGCUUGUCCGCUUUAAAUUUCAAGGUUAAUCUAUUGCUGUGAGCAUUGGUGUUUCAAUUUCAACCUUGAGUUGCAACUGAACUUAAAUGAAUAGUGUUGGAUUUGAGCCUUCUAUUUGCUUUAACUUCUACAGGGUUGAAAUGAUAGUGAUCUUAAAGUACAAAAGCAGCUGACAAAAAUCAUUUAGCCACAAUAGUGCAUGGUUUCCUAGUUUCUCAGUAUAAACUAUAAAGUUGAAUGUUUUGGUGAUAUCUCUACAUCCAAAUUCAUAUAGACAGCUAGUGUUGGCACUUGCUGUAGCCAAUGAGCACUGUAGAGUAUAUAUUGCAAAGUGAGAUAAGGUUAACUCAUUGCAUUUUAAUAAAUUAAAAGGAUUUCUCUUCUUUUCUUUGUCAAUUACAGUGCAUGUAUAAAAGUUUUCUUACUCAGACUAAAUGCUAUUGUAAUGUUUUCAUAGAGUUCCCCUGGUUUGCAACUAAUGCACUUAUAUACCGUGGAGCAUAGCCAUAGCCAUAAAUGGAAGGUUCUUCCAAGAAAAUUAACCAUGAAGCUCGUAACUAGAAUUUUAGACAGAAGGGUGGCCAACUGAACUACUAUACCCUGUACCUCUGGAAUAAUACGGGGAAAGGAAGUAAAAAUAGAUGUCUGUAUGUUGAUGCCAUAUAUUACUUGAUCGACACUCGGCUAUAUCAUUAUUUGUUUUUACUUUUUGCUAAUGAUUCCGUUGUAUACAUUUCUGAUAUUGGUGUGGUGUAUGAGUUCACGGUUCUUUCUCACUGCUGCUAACUUCUCUAUACCUGCCUUGUCAUUAAAAACUAAAUGUAAUGUUUUACAUGUGUAGAAUGGAGACAUUAAAGAGGCAUCUUCCGUUUUCUGAUCAAGAGGGAUUACAAGAACUCAAGAAAAUUGCCGUACGGUUUGAGGAAAAGAUUUAUACUGCUGCUACCAAUCAGGUAUUCGGCUAAUGCUAGGUUCAAUAAUUUCGAUACUCUCUAGACAUGAAUAUACACAUGCAUAGGUUCAAUAAUUUCGAUAUUCUCUAGACAUGAAUAUACACAUGCAUAAGUUUGUGGAUUUAUGUAUGUACACGUGUGUGUAGUGUGUCCACACCUCCUCACUGGUCAUUUUGUAGAGGUUCUCAUCUUUUCGUUAAUUCUCUUGGCAAGUGUUUUAUUUAGAGUGACCAAGGUCCUUUUCAAGUACAAGGGAAGUGUGCAAAAUGCAAAUAACGAAUCAAUACAUAAAUAAUUAAAUAAAAAGAGAGGACACAGAAGUAUAUCCUCACAGAAGAUGCAAAUACAAAGAGCCUAGCAUAUUAGAAAGAGCAUAAAUCCCUUUUCCCCCUUCUCUUGUAACAUGGAUUGCGCAGAGAUCUAAUCUUUUGUUAUUGAUAUCUGAUUUCAGUCUGAUUAUCUGCGUAAAAUAUCUCUGAAGAUGCUUACAAUGGAGACCAAGUCUCAAAAUACCAUACCCACUGGCAAUGGUAACAAACCCCUGGAUCCAGGAGGUAAUAAUGCAGCCAAGCAUUGAAUUUCUAAACAUCCUUACCUUUUGUUUUAUAUUUCGCAUUGUUAUCAAACUCUUUUACAUUUGAUUGCUGCAUAUUGCUAUGUAUAUACCAUGCUUUAAUAAAAAAGUUGAGUAAUUGAUGAAUGUUCAAAAAAAUUACAGAUUAUUUUUGUACUUUUAUGCUUUGAGGUAAAACCAUCUUAAUUAUUUCCCUCAUAACUUUACGUGUGAACUGUCAUUGUUUCAUUUGUUUUUCUUGCUCAAUGCCUUCUUUUUUUCCUUUGACAUGGUUUUCCUUUUUGCCUUCUAUCUUGAACAGCAUCUCAUAGUAUGCCGCCUCAAGCUCACAACCAAGGGCAGUCGCUCCCUAUCUCAUUGCCCACUAAUCAGUCUCAAGCAUGUCAGCAGUUAUCACAGAACAUGCAGAAUAGUAUAUCAUCUAAUGCCUUCUGUUUCCGGUUUAACCCAGACUAUCUCAAACACUGUUGGACAGAAUGCUAACAUGCAGAGUAUCUCUGGUGUUUCACAUAACCCAGUGGGGAAUUCAAUGGGACAAGGGAUUCCCUCCAAUAUGUUUGUCAAUUCUCAGAGACAAAUGCCAGGCAGGCAACAGGUUGUUCCUCCACAGCAACAGCAGCAGUCCCAAAAUCCUCAGCGGUAUCUUUAUCAGCAGCAGAUACAACAACAGCUUUUAAAGCUCUCAUUUUGAAUUUAUCGGACAUGAAUUUUAAAAAUAUAUGUAUAACUGGACAAUGCAUUUGACACUAUGGUAACUAAUCAUCAGCCAAUUGAUUUUUAUGGGAAGAAAGAAAUUAGCAAGUGGACUAACUCUGAGGCACUUAAGGUUUGGUGUGCUGAUAAAUCAUCACCUUGCUGGAAAAUCUCAUGGUCACCUCCUCGAUGCUAAUUCUGUAAGGCAUGUGUAGUGUUUCAUCCUUAACUUGUUAAGGAACAAGGACUGUGAUGCAUGGCUAUCUAUAUUUUAUGAUUGAGAUGGUUUUUUAAAGAUUUUCCUGGUUAGGAGGUAAAGUGUCACUUUUGUGCUUUUCUUCCAUGAUAAAUUGUUUGAGCCUUUUUUUUAAUAUAUAAUGAUCACUUGUUGGAGGGGGUCUCUCUGUCUGUUUGAAUGAUUACAUAACGUUGAGAUGGAGUUCCUAGUACUCCAAGUCCAAAAAGGACUUGUAUUCCUAUGUAAGAAAAUACUAAUGGUCUAUCUAGGAUAGGGAAAACCUAUUAAAGCUCCUUAUUCUUUAGGAACAAUAAAAUACUAAAUAGAAAUAAAACCAAGACCUACAAUAUUCCAUAAUUUUCAGCAAGUGUGAAAAUUACAGAAAUACCCUUGUGUGCAGAAAACAUUCAAAAAAUACAUGAAUUCUAAUCUUUUGUUGGCUGUAUCAAAAUUUUUGUAGCAUCCCUAGAUUCUACAGCAGAGACUGGACAUGCAAAUGGUGCUGAUUGGCAAGAGGAGAUCUACCAAAAGGUAAUUUCUGUAGUUUACUGUUCAUGUAUGUCAUCGUCUUGCAAGAUUUCAAUGGAAAAGGUCUCCUGGAAUUUGGUACAAGGGAGUUUUAUUCAGCUAUGGUUGUGAUUAGUUAGGAAGCAUUGUAAGUUCCAUGAUUGCCGUAACUAAGAAACGAUAAAUUACUGAUAAGAUGAUUAAAGGUAAAUAUUCAGAUUUCUAGGUCAAGAGGGUUAUUUUCUUGGUACUGACAAUUUUUUCUAUUGCAAAUCUCUCCCUUUCAAUUUUUUCCCUGUAUUUCCAUACAUUUAUUUGUGUGGUGAAUUAUUAUUUUAUUAUUUCCAAUAAGUCCAAUUGACAAUACUUCUUACUAUAAUAGACAGACUAGAAAACAAGAGUGAAUUGUUUCUGAAUAGUCAUCGUUAUAUUUGGUUAAGUGAACAGUUAUUUUCAGGAUUACAAUCAAAUUUGUUCUGAAACAUGUGACAAUGGAAGAAAGGAAAAUAAGUGGACCUAAUCCAUUGAAUCAUGACCAUGUCCAGUAUUGUUGAAUUUUAUAGAAAACGAGGUUGAAAUUCUGAAUCGUUUAAUGGCUGUAGUUGCAAUUCAUAACUGCAUAUUUGAUGAGGUCAAUUUUUUUGUGCCUGGGAGGGUACUAAAACGGGAAUAGGAGUGGUUGUUGAUAAUUAGGAUAUAAGGGUUAUAAAUCUAAAGUUAUAAAGCUAAGAAGUGUUUACCAAAGUCGUGACAUCCAUUGACUUGAGUGAGAACAAUAGAAAACAAUGGUGAGUAGUUUGCCGUGAGACAAAGUAACUGAACUUGACCAACCCCUGAAUCUUGUCUGAAGGGGUAACUACACAAUCCUUUGCAUCUUUGCAUGCAAUCAAUAACUAUAUUCUCUAUUGAGUUUUCAGCUUUGAUUCCACUCUGCUAUUAUAUGCUGUCCUCUGCCAUUUUAUUUUUUUAUUUUUUUAUCAAUUCUCUCAAGUUUGCUUAUGUUGCUUUCUGACUCUGGCACCUGAAGAAAUCAAGCAUAUGAUUGAUAAUGUUUUGCUGGUUAUAUGUACUUCCUAGAUCAAAGUUAUGAAGGAAACGUAUUUGCCUGAAAUAAAUGAAAUGUACCAGAGAAUUGCUACCAAGUUACAGCAGGUAAAUUGUCUUUGUAAUUUUUUCUGAAUUAUUUGCUCACACAUGAUUCAUACAGUUGAGCUUUUGUAUUAAUUUGUUUUCCCCAUCAGCAUUGCUUGUCACUGUAUCAUCUGCACUAAUUACCCCCACCCCCACCCCCAACCACCCCACAACCAUGCAUUGACACAGAAGAAUUGGAAUAGAAACAUUUUUUUCACUUAUGUUUUACUAGUUUUGCUACAAAGGGUCAAUGCAAUUUUUAAUUCUCAUGUAUGUUACCUUUGCUUUCCAGCAUGACCCUCUUCCGCAACAACCAAAGUCAGAACAGCUUGAAAAGCUGAAGGUAUUCAAGGUCAUGUUGGAGCGCUUGAUAACAUUCUUACAGGUCUCUAAAAACAACAUCACACCUACUUUCAAGGAGAAAUUGGGUUUCUAUGAGAAGCAGAUUGUAGGUUUUCUAAACCCAAGCAGAUACAGGAAGCCCUAUCCUAAUCUACAGCAAGGACAACUUCCCCAACCUCAUAUUCAACCUAUGCAGCAACCCCAAUCUCAAGUUCCUCAAUUGCAGUCCCAUGAAAAUCAACUGAAUCCCAGUUGCAAUCAAUGAAUAUGCAAGGUUCUGUACCAAAGAUGCAGCAGAACAAUAUGUCAAGCUUGCUGCAUAAUUCUCUUUCAACUUUAUCUGAGGAUUCUACGUCACAAUCAAACAUGAUGAAUCCAAUACAACCAGGCUCCAAUUUAGAUUCUGGACAAGGAAAUGCACUGAGCUCAUUGCAGCAGACACCUGUAGGAUCUGUACAACAGAAUCUCGUGAGCAUUUCCCAACCAACCAAUGUUAACACAUUGUCAACACAAAGUGGGGCGAGUAUGCUGCAGCCAAAUAUUCCCCUUCAGUCGAAUUCCAAUAUGAUUCAACACCAGCAUCUAAAACAGCAGCAGCAGCAGCAUGAACAACAGAUGCUACAAACACAACAGCUUAAACGAUUGCAGCAACACCAGAAUUUAAUGCAGAAUCGACAGAUGCAGCAGCAGCAGCAGCAGCAGCAAUUACACCAGCAAACUCCAUCUCCUAUGCCAGGAGAUUCUGACAAACCAGUUUCUGGUAUUUCCUCACUCUUAAAUACUGGAAAUAUUGUACACCAACCAUCUGUUGCACAAGCACUGGCUCCCUCCCUUGCAAUUGGCACUCCUGGGAUAUCUGCAUCACCUUUGCUUGCAGACUUUACCAGUCCUGAUGGUGCUCAUGGCGGUGCUUUGACAACUGUUUCUGGCAAGUCAAAUGUUACAGGGCAACCACUUGAGUACUUGAUUGAAGCGGUUAGUGAUGCUCUCCUUUUGGUUUUACUCCACCCCACCCUUAUUUUGGAGGUUUCUGAAAAAGAAAGAAACUUCUUUGUGAAUGAGAUGGUGAUGCUGUAAUUUUUUUUCCCAGGUGAAAUCUCUGUCUCCCAAAGCACUUAGUGCAUCUGUCGGUGACAUUGGCUCGUUGUCAGUAUGAUUGACAGAAUUGCUGGUUCUGCAGCUGGUAAUGGAUCUAGAGCUGCAGCUGGUGAGGAUUUGGUAGCAAUGACAGGAUGUCAUCUUCUUUCGUUUUUGUCUUUUUUAUUUUUCACGUGUUUCUCACAAGAUGGGAACUCGAGGGAAUAAAAAGUGCUGGGAAGUAAUUUUUGUUGGAACUUCUUGUGUAACAUCUUCUUUCGAUGAUGACCUCUUGGAUGGCUGCAUGAAGCUUGUUCCGCUUUAAAUUUCAAGGUUAAUCUAUUGCUAUGAGCACUGGUGUUUCAAUUUGAAACUUGAGUUGCUACUGAACUUAGAUGAAUGGUGUUGGAUUUGGGGCCUUCUAUUAGUUUUAACUUGUACAGGGUUGAAGUGAUAGUAAUCUUAAAAGUACAAAAGCAGCAGACAAAAAUCAAUUAGCCACAAUAGUGUAUGGUUUCCUAGUUUCUCAGCAUAAAGUUGAAUGUUUUGGUGAUAUCUCUACAUCCAAAAUCAUAUAGAUGUAGCCAAUGAGCACUGUAGAGUAUAUAUUGCAGCGUGAGAUAAGGUUAACUCAUUGCAUUUUCAUAAAUUAAAAGGAUUUCUCUUCUUUUCUUUGUCAAUUACAGUGCAUGCAUAAAAGUUUUCUUACUCGAGUAAAUGUUAUUGUAAUGUUUUCAGAAUUCCCCUGGUUAGCAACUAAUUCACUUAUAUAUCUUGGAGCAUAGCCAUAGCCAUAAAUGGAAGGUUCUUCCGGUUCAAGAAAAUUAACCACGAAGCUCGUAACUAGAAUGGCCAAGUAAACUCGUAUAUCCUGUUAUCUAGAACCUUAUUUAAUCUGCUGUGAUGAAACAUAAGCUAUAGGGUCAAGCCUGAUAUUAUUAGUGAAGCUUUUUUUUGUUUUUCAUUUUUUUUUUUUUUGUGAUAGGAACAUCAAAGAAAAAAUGUAUCCGGCUGGUUCAUGUGCGAAAAUAUGAGGCAUGUUAAGCAACUGGACCAGACUAUCACAUGUCAAAAUCAUAUGUUUCAAUGAUACUUGUUGCAAGAGUGUCCUUAAACAAUCCAAUGUGCCUUACUUGAUAUAUUUUUUUUUUUUUAAUCUCAUUUGAGUAACACAAUUGGGGUACCCUUUUCAGUUCAUUCGUAAAUCUCUUUCCAAAACUGAAAUUUCAGCUGGUAACUUUUGAUGGGUCAUUGGUGAUUAUAUUAAUUUGGCUACAGAAAUAGUGCUGAGGGGUCGAUGCACACUAUGAAAUGAUGUUUGCUGGAGCAAUGGGGCUGGAUGAAGGAGGGGGUUUUCGAGCUCAACGAAGCAGUGGAUGUCUGGUGCAGCAGCUGCUCUAGAUGGUCCUCACUAUUGGGGCAGCCUAUCGAGAUUGUUUUCAGGGACAUUUUUAAAGACAUUGAAAACGACAAUCUUGCAUUGAUUAGUGCCAAGUAUGAACACGUCAAAUCUAAGCUAAGAAAUCAUGGUUUUGUUAAGCUUUGCUAUCUUACAUAACACAUAAUGUUAUCGACAUCCUCUUCAUGUUAUAACAUGAUUAAGUAAAGGUAAGAUAAAAACAGUUAAAAGAUGAAUAUAAAGUUUAAAAUGAAAGGGGAGAAAGCAACCUAUCAACCUCAACCUACAGGCAAACAAAGGUUGAAACUGAGGUAAUCUAAAGCAAAAGAACAUCAGCCUCCGUUUUUCCUGACAUUUUUUUUCCUCAAGUGACCUCUACAAAGACCUGCUGUAAUAUAUGUAUGAACAACACAAACAAACAUGCAAAAAGAAAAUAUUUUUCAGGGAAACCCAAGUCCAAAAACUUAAAAAAAAGUGUUAGUCUUCAAAAUCAAAGCCUUCUAUCAUCUCCAAAGGUACAGAGCUGCGUUCCUAAACACAAGAUGUUUUUUUUUUUUAGAAAAAGGAAAAUCCUCGUACAACCUAAUACAAAGCAAGAAUCCAACAAAAAUCAAAGACUAAUGAAAAGAAAGACCAAAGAACUGAAAACAAACCAAGGCUGGAAUUAAGGGAAGAAUCUAAAGCAAAAUAAAACUCCAGCCUCUUAUUUUCGUGGCACGAAGUUUUUUCCUCACCCAAGUUACCUCUAGAAAAACCUAUUGUAAUAUCUAUAUGGAUGGGCAACAUAAAUAAACAAGCAAAAACUAAAACUUUUUUAAGGAAACCCAUGUCAAAAAAACCAUAAAGAACAAUGUCGCCCUUAAAAGCAAAGCUUUCUAUCAUCUCUAAAGCCAAAAAGAUGUGUUCCCAAGCACAAGAAAUGUUUUUUUUAUAAAGAAAUGGAAAAAACUUUAACAACCUAACUCAAAUCAAGCACCCAGCCUAACCAAAACAUUUGAAGAAAAAAGGUCGAUCUCUCAGAAGACUUUUGGCAAACACGUAGCAUGCAAGAGACACAUGUAAAGAAAACCACGUAAACUUCCUUGCAAGACACAUGCCACCCUGUGUGAAACAAAGACAACACCACCUCUAUAAAGAAUGGAUAAUAGAGGGUUGAAGCUAACCAAAAGACUAUGCCCAAGAAACCUCAUAACUAUAGCAAAAAACGCAGCCAAAGCCUCAAUAAACACACAUAUAGCCUAAUAAUGCAUCUAAAAAUAGAAAGACAAUCAACAAAGAGUAAAGGAAAAAAUUGAGCGCAAAUUUCCAGGAAGGGACAAACAAAAAAAAACCAAAAAGAAAGUAGAGAAAAAUGCAGACUUAAAUUCACAACACCCAUUUUCUUUCCAUUAGAACACUUUAAAUAGUUUAUUAAAUUUAUAACGAUCUGAUUUCUACGCAUAUUAAAAAAUCAACUUAAUGAUCAAUUCUCUAUAAUUUCAGCAUUACUAAAACUAUCCAAACUAAUAAACUAUUAGUUAUUUUAGUAUGAAUUAACAAGUCAAUUUUAAAUUUUUUGACUUCUUAGUUCCUUCAUGAAUUACUUGUAAAGCAUGCUAUAUAUCUCUAAGCGUUUUUGUAUAAUAUAGUUCUAUCAAAUUCACUUUUACCCAAUGUAUAAUAUAAAAUAUUCAUGGCUUUAACAUUAAUAAAAAGUAAUUUUUUAAUAUUUUCCAUAUAUUCACUUAUAAUUUUAGAAAUCUCAUUACCAUGUUCAAUUUUAAUCGGUCUUUGAGAUUUAUUUUGUACCGAUAGACACAAAUUAAAAUCAAUAAAUUAACUAUAAAUUAUUAUAAAACAAUUUAUUACAUGCUCUUUGGUGCUAGCAAUGUGAUUGUAAUAUUAUUUUUCAAGCUCACUCAAUCUCUAAUUCUUGAUAGCACAACCAAGAAUAAAUGAUGAAUCACAAUUUGUAUGUUACUCUUUGUAAGAAUUUUGACUAAAAAAUUGUAAAAGAGAAGAGUUUUAAAAAGACUAUAAGUUUUUUCAUUAUCAAAAUCAUGUCAGAAUAGUCUCUUUUUAUAGGUAAUUCUAACAUUUAAUUUUAACAUAUCUUUUAAGGCAAAAGGUUACAACUUUCUAAUUUAAAAAUACACGAUUUUAUUUCAAAUAGAGUUUUUAACAAACACAACUUUUCAUUCACACCCUAACAACCCCCCCACAUGAUAAAAAUUGUUUGGUCUGAAUAAAAUACUAAGUAGGCAAAAAAAUAGAGACUAGUAGCGAAAAGUCAUUGCAUCAAGCAAGAUAGUUUUUAGCCUUGAACCUUCCAUAAUUAAAACUAUUGGAUUCACUUGGCUAACUAGCAAACAUGAUGUCUUGAGUUUAUUUAACCUUUUGUGUGGAACUAGAUAAUAGAGAUUACACAGUUUAUUUUCUUACAAUUUUGGUUCUCACGGUUGUGUUCAUUUUAGUCUCAAAUAUGUCUUGAUUUCAGAGAGCGUUAGAGAAUUUGCAUUUUCAAUUCUCAUAGAAGUGGCUUUUUUUCACAGUCAUAUAGGUGAUUCUUAUUAAAAGUAUCAUGUAAUACCUCACUUGAAUUUCUCAAGCUAUAAAAGUCAUUAAAAGCUUAGCUUAUCUUAUUUUCACUGCAGAUAACACUUUAUAUCAUAUGAAUGGGUAAAAGGGAUAUUAUUGAAUUGACACAUGAUUUGGUUGCCUCUUUGAACCUAAAUUUGGGAUCUCCAGUAAACUAGGUUGGGUCGCUAUCAUGAAAAUUCAUUGAACUAUGUCUUAAUCUCAUUCCCCUUGAUGAUUAUUGACUUGCUCUAUUGUUAAGCAUUUUAUUAGCGAAUCCAUGAUAUUAUCAUUUAACUUUAUAUGAUCAAUAAAAAUAAUUUCAUUUUAGAUCAACUAUCUUACAAUAUUGAUAAUUAUGUCAAUACUUGCAGUUAUAUAUAUAUUAUGCCCUUUCAAUUGUAAAUUCGAAUAUCCUCAAUAAGGUUUUAGAAGCUAUUCUACUUCUUUUCUUUAUCUAAAGUUGUAAACUCAAACUCCUUCAUCGAUAUGGAUAUGCAUGUUUGUUUAAAGAAUUUUCAAGAGGCUAUAACUUCUCCAAUAACAAAGAUAAAUCUAUUUGUGGAUUUUGAAUCUUUAAUAUUGGAUAUCUAAUUAGUAUCGCUAUACCCUUCAAAUAUAGUUUCAUAUCUUAUAUAAUACAAUUCAUAUUUUAAACUUUUUUUGGUGAGCAAUGUAAUUUUUUCUAGACACCCCCACACUUUAAUGUAUUUGUAGGAUGAUGAUCGAACAUUCAACAACUCAUAUGAUAUCUUGCCCAAUUUCUUAUAAGGUGUUUUAUUCAGAAUAUAAUUUCUUAAUAUUGCUUCGUGUAUUUUUUCCUUUACAGUGACAAUAGUCCUUACAAUGAUGUCUUUACUUUUUACAAACAAAACAAGUUUCUUUGAACUUCUUUUUGCAGACACCACUACCAUUAGGACUCUUGAGAGAAUUUAAUUCAUCAUGCUUUAUAUUUGAAAAUUACAUUGUGUCUCAAAUUAUUUUGGUUUUUUCCCCGCAUGAAAAAUGUUUAGAAAUCGGGUUUGCCAAUCUAUACCACAAAGAUUACUAGGUUAACAAGUACAUCAAAAUCAUAGUUUUAAAACCCGGACCGGCCCGGCGGGCCAACCCGGGACCCGGCCGACCCGAGCAUGGGACCGGUCCGGGUGGAGGCCAAAACCUGGUUGGGAAUUGACCCGGCCAGACCUAGUCGACCCGGAGGGUCGACUCGGGACCCAGCUAACCCGGCAAGACUCAGUCAAGACCCGACCUCAAACCCGUUGACUUUUAUUUAUUUUUUUUUUUUUACCAAACGACGUCGUUUUGAUUUUUUCAAAAAAAAACAAAUUUGACCCGGCCGACCCGGUCAAGACCCGGUGACCCGGUCAAAACCCGAAAUCCGGGCCUUGGACCGGGCCGGGUCUUAAAACUAUGAUCAAAAUCAUCAACAAUAGUUUUAUCCAUCUAUUAUCUCAAUAAUAAAAUUAACUUUGCAAUUAUAUAUCACACUUAUAUAAUCUCAAAUAAUAUUAAUUAAAAUGAAUCACAAAAAUUUAACACACUAAUUUUGCGAAAAACAAUUUAAUAAACAAUUUAACUUUGCCAUUAUAUAUUUAUUUAUUUGUUUUUCUAUGAGACAAUGUAAUUUUCAAUAGAAACUAUAACAAUACAAAUAAUUAUAAAUAUUUUUCUUUCGACAUCAAUAUAAGAAAACAUUAUGUACUCUUCUAAAGUUAUGAUAUAAUGGAUACUUAGGAUUAAAAUAAUAAUAGUAUCUAAGAGGGAUGGAUUAGGUGUUGCAUUAAUUAUAUUAAAAUAAUACAAAUAAACAUACUAAACAUAUAUAACACAAUAAUCGACAAUAUAAUUAAAGUACUUAAAGUAAAUAGAUAAGGAAAGAGAGAUUGCAAACUUAAUUUAUAAGGUGGUUCGGUAAGUCUACAUCCACACUUCAAGUACUAAUUGUAUUUGAGUAUUGUACUAUUUUACUAAUAUAAGUGAAAAAUACAAUGCCCUUGAUGAAUCCACAUUAAGAAAUUACAGCACAUGAAGAUUUUUUUUUUUAAGAUUUGUUUUCUUGGUAACAAUAGAUUAUAUAAUUGAAAACUAUAAUUUCACUUUACAUAUAUUAUUUCACUGCUAAUUAGGGGAGUUCAAAAUAAUCGAUUAACCGAGAAAACCGACAAAACCGAAGAAAAAUUAACCGAAAAAACCGAACCAAAAGUAAAAACUGAUUAAACCGAUUUAAAAAACCAUAAAUGUUAACAGGUUCGGUUCGGUUUCGGUUUUGACCCAGAAACCGGGCCAAACCGAACCGGACCCAUUAAACCGGGCCAAACCGAACCGGACCCAUUAAACCAUUAAAAAAAAAGGUACUAUAAAUAGUUAAGUUAACCCAAUUGGCCUCCCUCUCUAACCCUAACAUAUUCUCAUCUCAGUUCUCUCACAAUCACAAAGCCGUCUUCAUCUUCCUUCCCAUUUCCAACAAAAACUCAAUCUUCCUCAAUAAUUAAUUCACAAUCUUCCUUUCCCAGAAACCUUCUUCAUUGAAGCAACGACAACAAGGUAAAUGACUAAAUUCCAUCUUCUUUGAUUCUUUGUUUCAUGGGUUUGAAUUUAGAAAGUAUUUUCUAAAUUUCCAAGUCUAUUCCAUCUUCAUCUUCAUAUUUUUAUUUUCCAGAAACCGUUUCCAUCUUCAUCUUUCCCAGAAAUCAUCUCCAUCUUUCAGGCGUCUUCAUUUUAGCAAUGACAGCAAGGUAAAUUUCAUCUUCAUCUUUGAUUCUUUGUUUAGUAGGUUUGAAAAUUUAUUCUAAGUCUAUUCUAUCUUCAUCUUUCCCAGAAACAGGCUUCAUUGUUUAAUUCCAUCCGUUGAUUGUUGAAAGGUAAAUUUUUGUUACUUACUUCUUUUAUUCCAUAUAUAUUGCUUUAGAUUUCGAAUAAUUUGUUGAGUGUUGAUUAUUGCUUUACUGCUACCCUUGUGAUUUUAAGCUUAAAUUCAUAUUAUGUUCUGUUUUGUUUUGUUUCAUGCUUUCCAUUUUGUUGACUGUUGCAUUUUCUUUUUCAGAUGUAAAUAUACGUUUCAGUUUCAUGCUAAAUUAUUAUUCUUUUGUUUACUGUUGAUAAAAGCUCCAUGUUUUCCUUUGUUGAACAUUCUACUACUAUACCAUUCUGUAUUGCUUGCAUUAUGUGGGGAUUUGGAUGUUAUUUUAGACUGUUCAUAUUAGAUUCAGUAAAGGACUAUCUUUUGAGACAAGGCCAGUGCAAUGCUUGUUUAAAUUAGAAGAGUUCAGUUGCACCAUUAACUUCCACAAUGUGUAUUCUGAGGGCAUUUCACUAAGGCUGUAUCUUCAUAUAGUUAUUUUAUAAUAUCAUUUAUUUACAUAUGUUUAAUCUAACAUUUUAAUUUAUGUUUUUGUAGAAUUUGGUGAAAGUUUAAAAAUCUCAACUGAUUAUUUGUAAGUUAUAUUGAUGAUGUUGGUGCAAUCUUGGAAUAUAAUUGUUUUGGGUAAUUAAUUUACUUUGCCUUAUUAAUUCCUUUUAAAAUUUUGCAUUCCUAAUUUUUUUAAUUGUCAAACUAUAAUAUGUUGCUAAUUUGCUAGUGUUUUUUUAUAGCAUUAUCCUUGCUGGAUCUUUUAGCUUUUGCUGUUGCUAGAAGUUUUAGAUCCUGCUGUAGUGCUGGUGUCGGAUUUUUUCUUCAACUUAUGCCGAAUAUUUAUGAUAAUUUAUUACUAGUUGCUAUUUGCUAAUGUAUCUAUUUGCUAAUGUAAACUUUUUUUAGUGUGAACACCUUUUUUAAUUUGAGGUGUCCAAAUUUGAUCAUGUAUUUUGCAUAUUGCAUUGAUUUGAAUUUUCAUAGCAUAUUUCUUUGUAUAUUAAAAAUAGUAAGAUAAAACAUUUCAAAUUUAUUGUUACUAUAAGCAAUUAAGCAUUUCAAAAAAAUUUCAAUAUUUUAAUUUCAUUAGAAAGCUUAUAACAAAAUUAAUCAAAUUAUAACAUUUUAAAGAGUUUUGAUUAAAAAGCUUAUAAAUUUAGCCCAACAAGAAAAUUUAACAGCCCAAUUUAAUUUAAGCCCAUUAAAAAAAAAUAAAAAAGCCCAUUAAUUUAAUGAUUAGGUUUCCCGGUUUUUUAACUGCAAAACUGGAUUCAACCGAACCGAACCGGUUUGGUUUGAACCAGAAUCCAGUUCGGUUCGGUUUGAAAUUUAAAAAAUAUGAGGUACUUGAUUCGGUUGGUUUUUAUAGUUGAAACCGAACCGAACCGAACCGUAAACAAGCUUACAGUACACUGUGUUUGAAUGAGCACUCAUAUAUAUAUAUAUAUAUAUAUAAUUCUUUUAGUUUUAAGUUUAUAGUUAUGAACAUUAUAUCAGCACAGUGAAUGCAUUUCUUUUAGUUUGUUAGCGAAUCUGUAAAGAAUAAAAUAUUGCUACCUGCAUAUCACUAAUUUAAGUAUUAAAGUUUUUUAGAUAUUUAUAUAAAUAUUUAUAUGAUUGUGAAUUUUAGGAUUUCUAAAAUUAUUAGAGGUAUAGGUAAGUUAACCAGAAUAUUCAUAUAUAUAAAAAAAGGCCAUCUGUCAAGCUCUGUUCACUUUGGUCCGACAUUCUUCACCUCUCUCCACCUGAGCUCUCUUUCCCUCCUCCGCUCUAGGAAACCGCGCCACCUCAACCAAUAAGGCUUCAAAUCUCCACCAGGUGCUUCCUUUUCUAUCAUGUUUUUUAUUUUUAAAAUUUAAGUCUGUGUUUUCAUUUAUUUAAUUGAAAUUCUUAUCCAGAGAGAUAAAUUCGAUUUUAAUAAGUAAAUUAAAAAGAUAUAUAAUCGGAUCGAUGAAAUCGCUGCUCGUGAACGCAACUCGAAGAAAGGCGCAAUCAGCCGAUUCUACUGUGGGUGGAGCAUUUAGUAUGGUCAGGGUUAUUGUGUUGUCUGUUCAAAGAAAGAUGUGCCUGUAAAUUUGUUAAGUUGAUUCUUAUCAGUCUGCUCUUUAGAGUUGAUGAUAACUUGAAAUAUUCAUUGUUAAUGCUCGUUGUUUUCUUUGUCUUUUUCCUAGACUAAAACAUCCUAGACAAUCUCUUCGGGAUGGAUUAGUGUUUCUGGCCUCUUCAUCUUCUAUUUGUGCUGUGGUAUUUAGUCUGCUGAUAUUCAUUGGGGAUUGAAAGGCCUCGUUUUAUGACUUUGUUUUGCCUUCUUCUUAUUUCUUUAUUCUUUUGGGGAUGUGGUAUUUUCCUCUUUCUAUUUACACUAUUUGCUCCCUACAAUAUUUGUUCUUUCAGAGAAGUAAAUAUAUGCAUAAAUAACAAGAACAGGAGGGGAAGGGGAGUGGGGUUUGACAGUAAGUACUUGCUUAGAAGGGAAUGCUUCUUUGGUUUAGAAGCACCAUGAAGAUUCUUUGCUUUGAAUGGCCGAAUACCCAGGAUCCUAGCACCUUGACCUGAAUGGUUGUGUAUAUUUGUUAUGCAUCCGUAUUUGGCUGAAUUCUUUAAUAAAGUACAUGAUAUGAGACGGAAGUUCUUUUUAAAUCUAUUCAAGUCUGAAUAAACUGAUAUUCCAUUUUUCAUGUUCUUGAUGUGCUUUUGCUCUUCUUGCCGUUCCUGACUUUCUUUUUAGGGUCUUUUCUAACAUGCAAUAUGAUUUUUUUUUUCCUUUUGGUUGGCCCACUGUCCCAGGCGGAGAACCUGUCAUGGACACGGGUGAUUGGAGAAUUCAAUUGCGGCCUGACUCACGGAAAAGAAUAGUCGACAAAAUGUAUGUGCAAGUGCUGCAAAAUAGUAAAUUUUUUAUUUAUAUGAAAGAAAAGGAGAAUGACAAAGGGUUAAUUAAAAUCAGCAGGAUUGCCAUGAGGCAAGAUCAAGUAUCACACACCUCUUUUUUUUUGUUUCAUCUUUUCAUGUGUUUCUCACGAGAAGCAAACUUGAGGGAACAUAAAGUGCUGGGAAGUAAUUUUUGUUGGAAUUUCUUGUGUAAUCUCUUCUUUUGAUGAUGACCUCUUGGAUGGCUGCAUGAAGCUUGUUCCGAUUUUAAUUUCAAGGUUAAUCUAUUGCUAUGAGCAUACAUGUUUCAAUUUAAAACUCGAGUUGCAACUGAACUUAAAUGAAUGGUGUUGGAUUUGGACCUUCUAUGCUUCUACAGGGUUGAAAUGAUAGUGAUCUUAAAGUUGAAAAGCAGCAGACAAAAAUCAAUUAGCCUCAAUGGUGCAUGGUUUCCUAGUUUCUCAGCAUAAAGUUGAAUGUUUUGUUGACCUCUCUACAUCCAAAAUCAUAUAGACAGCUACUGUUGGCACUUGCAUUGGUCAAUGAAUACUGUAGAGUAUAUAUUGCAGUGUGAGACAAGGUUAACUCGUUGCAUUUUCAUAUUGAAAGGAUUUCUCUUCUUUUCUUUGUCAAUUACAGCACAUGCGUAGAAGUUACUCAGAGCAAAUGCUAUUGUAAUGUUUUCACAGACUCCCCUGCUUUGCAACUAAGUCACUAAUAUAUGAAGCUCGUAGCUAGAAUUUUUAGACAGAAGGGUGGCCAAGUAAACUCCUAUAAUCUGUACCUCUGGAAUAAUACAGGGAAAGGAUGUCUAUGUAUUUUGAUGUCUUAUAAUACUUGACCAACUCUUGCUUAUCUCAUAAUUUGUUUUACUUUUUGCUAAAGAUUCCACACAUUUCUGAUAUUGGUGUGGUUUAUGAAUUCAGGGUUCUUGCUCGCUGCUGCUAACUUCUCUAUACUUGCCUGGUCAUUAAAAAUGAAACGUAAUGAUUUGCAUGUGCAGAAUGGAGACAAUAAAGAGGCAUCUUUUGUUUUCUGGUCAGGAGGGAUUACAAGAACUCAAGAAAUUUGCCAUACGUUUUGAGGAAAAGAUUUAUACUACCGCCACCAAUCAGGUAUAUGCCUAAUGCAAGGUUCAAUAAUUAUGAUAUUCUCUUGACAUGAAUAUACACGUGCAUUUAUGCAUGUACAAAUGUGGGUGUAGUGUGCGUACACUUCCUCACCGUUCACUCUGUAUGCAAGGCUGAUUCGGAGUUCGCAUCUUUUUGUUAAUUCUCUUGACAAGUGUUUUAUUUAGAGUGACCAAGCUCAAGUACAAGGGCAGUGUGCAAAAAGAAUAUAGCAAAUCAAUACAUAAAUAAUUAAAUAAAAAGAGAGGAAACAGAAGUAUAUCCUCACAAAAGAUGAAAUGAUAGAGCAUAUAUCCAUUUUCCUCCUCUUGUAACAUGGAUUGCUCUGAGAUCUAAUGUUUUGUUAUUAAUAUCUGAUUUCAGUAUGAUUAUCUACGUAAAAUAUCUCUGGAGAUGCUUUCAAUGGAGAUCAGGUCUCAAAACGCCAUGCCCACUGCCCCAUGGAUCCAGCAGGUUAUAAUGCAGCGGAGCAUUGAAUUUCUAAACAUCUUACCUUUUGUUUUUCUUCUCGCAUUGUUAUCAAACUCUUUUAAAUUCUAACAUUUUGUUGUCUGCAUUGAAAUUUUUGUAGCAUCCCUAGAUUCUACAUGCAAAAGGCGCUGAUUGGCAAGAGGAGAUCUAUCAGAAGGUAAUUUCUUCGAUUUACUGUUCAUUAGAUGGAGUUCAUGUAUGCCAUAGUCUUGCAAGAUUUCAAUGGAAAAAGGUCUCAAGAAAAUAAGUAGGGAUUAUUCCAUUGAAUCAUGACCAUAUCCAGUAUUGUUGAAUUUUAUAGAAAAUGAGGUUGAAAUUUUGAAUGUCUCAAGUCACAGCUGCAUGUUUGACAAGGACAAUUUUAUUUUUUUGUGCUUAGGAGACCAAUAUUUGCUGAGCAAUUCUAUAAUGAAAAGUUGGUGACUGAUGUUUUAAAAACUGGAGUUGAGGAAUGGCUUAGAGUGCAUGGAGAUCAUGUUAAAAGUGAAGCUGUAGAGAAGGCAAUCACUCAAAUUAUGAUGGGUGAAGAAGCAGAGGAAAUGAGUAGCAGAGCAAAGAAACGGCCAGGAAGGCUGUUGAAGAAGGUGGAUCUUCUUGCUCCGAUUUCAAUGCUUUGAUUGAAUAACUGAGGUGGGGUCGCCCUUGAAACAAAGGCAUAGAAUAUUUUGUUUAUACUUUAGUAGUGGUUUUGGCAAUUUAUUUUCAGACAAGUCUUGAGAGUUGAAAGAGUAAUCACACCCGAGUCAAUGACCAAUCCAAAUCAGUUUCCUUCCUAAUGAUUCAGGAAUGAGAAGUCCAGCUUAUAUAUUUAGCCCAAAUAACUAAUCAAAUAGAAAGGCUGAGCUUAGAGACAGUACACUACAAAUUACCAAUAGCUAGACAAACAAUCAUCACAAACUAGGAACGACCGUCUCCCCAGUAACAAAUUCACCUUCUGAAGUUGGAGAACUUGCGAAAACUAGCCACCACAAAAUAGUAGCAAGUAUCUAUGCAGUCUUCGAUGAAGUACAACCACCUGCGUCGCCAAUAUGGAUUGAUGUAGAGAACUGCUGCAAUCAUCAUCACCACAACUGUGUAACAUACACCGAAACUGAUGUAGAAAAACUCCAUGUCUAUGAAACCAUCAUCUCCUUGUUCAUCAUUAGGCACUGGCUGGGACGACACUGCUUCUUCACUACAAUUGUUUUGCAAUGGAGGUCCACACAAGAAAGGAUUUCCUUCGUAACAGCUUUCGUCAAAGGUCCCAAACUGAUAUUUUCUCUCGGGUGUCCUACCUGACAAGUUAUUGUGCGCCACGCUAAAAACUUCUAGUGUGGUAACUUCAGUAAGUUGUGGAGGGAUGGCACCAUUCAAGUUGUUGUAAGAAAGAUCCAAACUCUCAAUCUGCUUUAGGUUUGAGAAUGUUGCAGGGAUAGAUCCAGUAAGAUUGUUGUGUGAUAAGUUUAAUGACAGUAUCUGACUUAAGUUUCCAAAUUCUGGUGGGAUUGCUCCUCCAAAGUUGUUAUUGGAGAGAUCAAUACCAGACAUGUAGAUGAGAACUUUUCCCUUGUACCCAUAAUACAUAUUUUUUGUGGUAAAUUCUGUCACUUCUUCUGUAAAGUUAAACCAUAAAACCUUGCUUAAGCUGGACAUACUAUCCAUUAGCAGUGAACCCAUUGUUUCAUCAUAAGCUCUGUUUAUGGACAUUAAUUCAAAACCACUGUCGGCAUCCACUAUUGCUUUCUGGGAACUUUCCUUGAAAGUAAGAUUGCCCAAACAUGAGGGUAGUGGACCAGAGAGCUUGUUUUGUGAAACAUCCAAAAUGCUUAAUUGUUCUAACAAGCAUAACUGAACAGGGAGCUCACCAUCAAAGUGAUUAUCCCUCAGAAGAAGAACACUCAAUGAUGAAAGAUUGCCAAUCCAAUUUGGAAUGGAGCUGGUAAAGUUGUUAUCUCGAAGAUCUAUCGUAACCAGGGAAGAAUUGUUAUAAAAUUCAUAUUUUAAUGGACCGCUCAAUCUAUUUUUGGAUAGAUGAAUAUGGGUUAUUUGUGGUGGAUAGAAACAAGAUGGCAUAUGUCCAGACAAGUUGUUCCCAGAAAGAUCUAAAUAUUCAAGCUGGUCAAACUUACAAAAGUCUCUUGGGAUCGAACCCUUAAAAUGGUUUUUGGACAAAUCAAUUACUCCAAGACUCGUAAAAUUAACGAACCUCCUUGGAAGCAUGCCUGAAAAUUGAUUGUUACUCAAAUCCAAUACAGUCCACACUUUACACCCAUAUAAUGGAAAAUCUGAUAUCUGACCCCAAAAGUUGUUACGGCUUAGGUAGAGAAAAGUUAGGCCAGAAGAAUUGAACACCGAGGUCGGUAAUUGCCCACCCAAAUUGUUGUUUGACAGCUUAAGAACCAUUAUUGUUGUUAGUUGUUCUAGUUUUAUUGCAGACAAUUGAUUGUUGGAUAAAUCUAAAAAUGAAAGAGUGCUAAUAUUUCCUAAACAAGAAGGAAUAGAACCUGUGAAUCCAUUCUUAGCCAUCCUUAGGAUCAAUAGAUUUGGAAAGGUCAAACAAAUAGCUUUUGGAAUUUGACCGUUCAUGUUGUUGUUGGAUAUAUCUAAUUCGGUCAUUUUCGGAUAUGGGUGAUCUUGUAACUGCAAAGUACCAACAAAGAAGUUCUGGCUCAGAUAUAGUUUCGCCAAUCGUGUAUUGUUCUUAAGCAACCACGAUGGAAACAUUCCGAUGAUGUUGUUGUUGGAGAGAUCAAGGGCUCUUAAGUCGUAUUGGUAAUAGAGAAAGUCGGGAAUAUCUACAUUGAGUGCUUCCGAUGUUGGACUACUUGACAAGCGAAAAAAAACUAGUUGGAACUUUGGAAUCAAAUUAUCAAAAGCAGCAGGUUCCGUUGCUAGUCUAUUGUUCUCACUAGAGAAGACCUUGAGGCUUGAGUGGUUCAUAAAAGGCUUCACUGAAAUGGGAACUUCAAAGAGGUUAUUUGAUAGUGAGAGGAAUUGAAGGGAUAUGAGGUUGGUAAGAGGACCAAAUCCAAUAUUUCCAGUAAACUGGUUAUCAGAAACAUCUAAUAGUUGUAGAGAUGACAAGUUCCCCAAACAAUUUGGGAGUGAACCUCCAAAAUUAUUUCCAAAGAGAUCUAAUUGCUUCAGAUUCUUCAAUUCACACCAACCUGUACAAUUUAUCUCGAAACAAUCAAAAUAGUGUUGAAAGAAUCUUUUAUUGAUGAUGUAAUUAUAGGUAGAUGGAGAGUUGUUAAUUUACCUUGAGCGGGUAAAGUGCCAUGGAGGUCACAUUCAACAACAGACAAAACUUGAAGAGCAGGUAAUGCUCCAAUGUUUUGGAGGAAGUUUAUUGGGAGAGAAUUAUUAUCUAAAUGCAAUUCUUCAAGGGUGCUAGAAUUGAAGAAAGUCCCUGUGAAAAAGAAAGAAAGAAGAAGAGAUAAGAAAGUACAGAAUAGUCAUUCCAUUCAAUAUUAUUAAUUAAGACUUAAAUUAGUAUCCUUGAGAGAACUGAUAUUGAAUAGGGAGAUGAUUUUUGGAUAGAAACAACAAAUUGCCAGAAAAAUCCAGAGAUUUCAAAAGGUAUUGUAAAUAAAAGAACCUUACCAUUAACAACCGUCGAUCCUGUCAACUCAUUAUAUGAUAGAUUUAAAGACUUGAGAGAAGAAAGUCCACGCAGAUGUGAGAAAAUGCUGUUGUUGAAUGUAUUAUAGCUCAAGUCAAGGUUCUCGAGUUUCCCUAGAUGUGAUGAUAUGAUCUCAAUACCUGCAAGAGAGUUGUUUCUAAGAGUAAGUCAUAAUGAGCUCACGAUAUGCAUGAUAUAUAGAAACUAAAGAUAAUUAGAAUUGAUGAGAUGUUGUUGUUCAAUUGAUACAUGAUUAUCAAAUUAUACAUAAAAAAAAAAAAAACAAUUUUUAGUCGUUCUAAUUUUGAUCUUAUUGGAAAAAAAAACAAUUUAUGGAUAUAAAGUCGAUAAAGAUGAAAGCUAAGUUAUGAUAGACUUACAAAACAAGAUAAAUAAACUUAUAAUUAAGAUCUCAUCGGUAAUUAAAACAAGAAUAAUAAUCAAUCCUAGCAAUAAUUAAGUUUUUCUAAUAAAGAAAUUGGCAAUCUCUCGUUGGCUGUCCAGUGAUUUGUAUUGGAUAGUUUUUUUUUUUAAUUGAUGUUAAGAUCCAAGUUUUAAUAAUUACAAUUUUCUUAAUUAUAAUAUUCUAGGAGAGAGCUUUUUAUUAUGUUAUUCAAAACCCAUUCAAACUCAAAUUCAUUAAAAAAAAAUACUUAAGAGUUGUGUUCGACAAAGUAUCUCAAGACAGAAAAAACAUAUAUAUAAAUAUAUUUAUUUAAAAAGAUAAUAAAAUAUAUAUUUAUAGGAGAAUUUUGAAGUGAACUUCUGAUUACUAAUUUAAUCUAAAUAUUACAACACUUUUGGCAUAAAAGGGCCAAAAUAAGAAUAAAAUAUAUGCCUCUUGGACCUCAGUCCAAGUACCUCUUUACGUAGAUAUAAAGUCGUCCUCAUUUUUGUUGAUAAAGAAACAAUAUAAUUAAGAGAAUGUCAUGUGAAGCAUUUAGGUAGAAACUGUGUAUUAUACCUGAUCCUGUCAGCUCAUUGCCUGACAGAUCCAAAGACUUGAGGGAUGAAAAUCCAGUAAGAGAAGGAAAAAUGCUAUCAUUGCAUUGAUUCCAACUUAGAUCAAGGUUCUCCAGCUUUCCCAGCCUCACCGGUUGGAGUUGAAAACCUACAAGAUAUAUAAUUCUCAAAUUAUACAUAAAUUAAGGAAGAAGAUAGUGCAAGGAGUUGUUUCUAAGAGUAAGUCAUAAUUAUGAGCUCACGAUAUGCAUAAUAUAUAGAAACUAAAUAUAAUUAGAAUUGAUGAGAUGUUGUUGUUCAAUUGAUGUUUUCUUGAUAAAGAGAAUGUAACUUACUAUUGAUAGAUCCUGUCAACUUAUUAUGUGAUAGAUCCAAAGACUUGAGGGAUGAAAGCCCACUCAGAAUUGAUAAGAUGCUGCUGUUCAAUUGAUUGCCACUCAGGUCAAGGUUCUCUAACUUUCCCAGCCUCAUCGGUUGGAGUUGAAAACCUACAAGAUAUAUAAUUCUCAAAUUAUACAUAAAUAUUUAGUUGUAGAAUUAAAUAUGUGGGUUUUAUGUUGUUCUCUUUAUUGAUAAAACAGUCGAGAGUUUUUCUAAUAAAGAAAUCGGCAGUCUCUCAUUGGCUGUCUAGAGAUUUGUAUUAGAGAGUUUUUUUGAUAGUUUUUAUUAAAUAGAUAUAAAGUCAUUUUUGUUGAUAAGGAAACAAUAUAAUUAAGAGAAUGUCAUGUGAAGCAUUUAGGUAGAAACUGUAUAUUAUACCUGAUACUGUCAGCUGAUUUUCUGAAAGAUCCAAAGACUUGAGGGAUGAAAAUCCAGUUAGAGAUGGAAAAAUGCUAUCGUUGUAGUGAUUCCCACUUAGAUGAAGGUUCUCCAGCUUUUUCAACCUUGAUGACAAGACGUUGAGACCUGCAUGAUGUUCCUCAAGAGCAUAUUGGAAGGAAAUAAUUAAAUGCGUAGAAAAAAAUGAAAAAUGUUUUGAAGCUAAAUAAUUAAAAGGUUACCACAGAAGCUACCUGAUCCAGCUAUCAACUCAUUAUAUGAUAGAUCCAAAGACUUGAGAGUGGAAAGGUUACCAUUGAAACAUGACAAAAUACUUUUAUCAUUAAAUUGAUUGCCACUCAGGUCAAGUUCCCUCAGAUUUGAUGAUAGGACUUCGAAGCCUGGAAGAGAAUCAUCAAAGCAAGAUAAUUGACAUGAAACACCAACCAACCUUCAUUUAUUUUAUGAUUAUAAUUAAGUGCAGAAACAUUGAACUAACCUUCAUUCUCCAUGCAACCAACCAAUCCAGUAUCUCCCAAAUCAAGACUUUGCAAUUCUUUAAAAGGCUGAAACAAAGAUGCUUUGAGAACCCAAUCGUCCAAGCUAUAAACCCUUGCAUCGAAAAGAGAGAGUUGGAUCACUCGUCUUGUAGUGUUAUCACACUCGAUCCCAAGCCACUCACAACAAUUACUACCGUCCACCCAACCUCUCAAGUAAAUGUGAUCUGGGUUGAUCAAAGAUUGGAUCUCCAAGAGACCAACCCUCUCUUCCUCCAAACAUCCAUAACAACGACCAUACCUUUCGCCAACCAGAGUCAAUAAUGCUAGCAGCAUCAAAGCACCAAUUCUUUUCACCAUCAUCUUAGAUAAUUCUAUGAAUUACUACUACGUAGAAUAUUGUUGUUUGUUAUGUGCCUUUGGGCAACCAUAGAGGUCCUAUUUAUACUACACUUUGGCCAUUUAAUUUCCUUGACUUUAUCUGCAUAUCUUGUGUGCAGGUUCCAUGUUUGGAGAUUUGAAUAUUUUUUUAUUUCUUUUUGGAAUAUUCUUGGAUUUUAAUAUUAUUUUUUUAUUAUUGUUCAGCACUUAAAGGCCCUUAGGCUUACCGAAGAAAAUUGACUUCUCCAUAACUGUAAACAUCACUUUUGUCCGUCAGUUGGCUUGUGUGCAAGUACUCAGGUCUAAGUAUCCUAGAGUACCUCGCACCAUUGUUGACUAUUCAACAUGAUCCAACGGAAUUAACCUGUAAGUGCCACAGUCUGACACUUCGGCCUUUAUGGUGUGUUUGUCGAUAAUAUAGAUUUGAAUAUUGUAGACAUUCCUAAGAUUUUUUUCAUGAUUUUAUAAUUGUACUUCUCUCGUAAUAAUUUAGGGUUUCAUGUUUUGAGAUUUUAAUAAUUUUUUUUUUUUUGAAAUAUUCUAGAAUUUAAAUAUUAUUUUAAUCUAUUGUUUAGCACUUAGUCCAUUUAGAUUUGAAUAUUAUCUUGUGCAGUUCAGACUUUAUUUUAUUGUUCAGUUCGGCCUUUAGUCUAUUUGUAUUUAAUUAUAUUUUUGUUACUAAUUAUCCAAUUUAUAAAAUAAAUAAAUAAAUAAAAAUAUUGUAGACAUUCCUAAGAUUUUUUUCAUGAUUUUAUAAGUGUACUUCUCUCGUAAUAAUUUAGGGUUUCAUGUUUUGAGAUUUGAAUAUAUAUUUUUUUUUGGAAUAUUCUAGGAUUUGAAUAUUAUUUUAAUCUAUUGUUUAGCACUUAAUCUAUUUACAUUAAAUUAUAUUUUGGUUAUUAAUUAUCCAAUUUAUAUAAAUAAAAUAAAAUAAAAUAAUUGUUGUAGUACUUCAGCAUUGUUAUCGACAUUCGUGUGUGAUUCCGCGUUAAAUCUUUUUUACUUUAUAGUUGUACUUCUCUUGUCAUAAUUUAGGGUUUCAUGUUUUGAUAUUUGAAUAUUAUUAUUUUUUUGGAAUAUUCUAGGAUUUGAAUAUUAUUUUAAUUUAUUGUUUAGCACUUAGUCUAUUUACAUUAAAUUAUAUUUUGGUUACUAAUUAUCCAAUUUAUAUAAAUAAAAUAUAAUAAAAAAAUUGUUGUAGUACUUCAGCAUUGUUAUCGACAUUCGUGUGUGAUUCCGUGUAAAAGAAGUCAUAAUUUAGGGUUUCAUGUUUUGAGAUUUGAAUAUUAUUUUGUUUUUUUUUGGAAUAUUCUAGGAUUUGAAUAUUAUUUAGGGUUACUAAUUAUCCAAUUUAUAUAUAUAAAAAAUUAAUAUUGUUUCAGUAUUCCAUGUGAUUCCACAUAUGAUCUUUUUGACUUUAAUAAUUGUAGUUCUCUCGUCACAAUUUAGAAUCAUUUAGGAGUAUUUGCAUGGUGUCAUCACUAUCAUAUAUAGAAUUAAAUGUAUAAAUUAUCAAUAAUAAUAAACUCAGAAUAAUUAUAAAUCUUAACCCUAUGGAUUGUGUGGCUACAGUAUUAUAUACAAAAACUUCAAAUAUAUAUAUAGACACACACACAGCUGUCAAUGACCCAAACAAGCAAAUUAAAAUUCAAAGUGUGAGCAUUGAAUUUCUUAGCACGUCAAACACUCCCUUUUCUUUUAAAUUUAUAGCAAAACCUAAAUUUAAAAUAAACUUGUGUGCUCAGUAUCUUUUUAAGGUGAAUUAACAAGUUUCAACUUAACUUUGUAUCUUCUCUAGAUAUGUCUGUGACUGUGCCUUGAUUUUCUCACAACCAUUAAGAUGGUUCGAUACCAAAUAAAUGGAGACAAAUUUAUUUCCUGUUAUUCUCUGAUAGUAUCUUCGUUUCUUGAUAGAAUUUUCUUGGAAAUGAUGAGUUGCCACUUCCUUUUGACUUUGCUGGCUUCCCAAAUAGAUAAAGAAUUCCUCUCGAUAGAUUUCUUUGAAAUGAUGAGAAUAUGUUAUAGUUUUCUUUGAAAUGAUGAGAAUAUUUUAGAAUUUUCUGGUUGACGCCAGCUGUCAACAACUAUCUUACAUUCCCUUGGCAUCGUGUUCCAUGCCUUUGCAAAAUAUUAAAGGCUCCAAUGCCUCUCUAGCAAUAAGAUUAUUUUUUUAUUUGUCCCCGAAUACAUGUGUCAUUUAUCGAAAAAAUUAAUUUAAUCACAAAAAAAAAAUCCAACUACCAUGCCAUUUCACAAUUAUUUUUUUUAAUUAUGAUUUAGUGUUAUGUUAACCAGGCAACAUUUAAUAACCAUGAUAUAAAAUACAAAAAUAGUGGGAACAUAGAAAACAUGUUUUUAUAUAUUUUUUUAUUUAAAAGUAUAAAUUUUACUCCAAUUUCACUCAAAAACUAUUGUAAAAAGAUAUUUAUUUUAAAUUUAUCUAUAUUUUUAUAGUUCAUAAAUUAAAAAUAAUACAGAAAUAAUGAUCCAGACUCAUCUAAAAACAGUUAACUCUGACAAAGAUAAUUUAUUAAUCACGAAGUUUUCUAACGAUUAACGAAUUUAAUAUAUAAUAAAGGCCGAGUGAAAGAAUAAAUUUAAUUGUAUAAUGUGCUAAAGUUUGAAUAGGCAACUUUAGAAUCACGAAGCAGUGAUAUCACACGAGAAGAUUGAAAGAAUAAUUAAAGUGAUUUUUCUAACAUUAUAAAAAACAUUAACCGAAAAGAUGACCCCAAGUCAAAGUCUUUGUGGAAAAACAUGAAUAAAAGGUUAGCGCUGGCCAGCUCACUUUCCAUGAAGAUGAUGGAUACAUAGCCCUCCCUUCUAUUUUUAUGGAAAUCACGUUUAGAAAAUCAUGCUUUAACUUUAAUGGUGUUGGCAAAAUCAAACAUUAUUAUUGCUAUCUGAGUUUUUUCUAAGAGAUGGGUCCGUUCCACAAUUUCCCCUCAAGCUUGAGAAGGGAUGAUAUAUAUAUAUAUAUAUAUAUAUAUAUAUAUAUAUAUAUAUAUAUAUAUAUAUAUGCGCUUUAAUUUCAACUUGUAUAAAAAAUAAAUCUUAAUGUAGUGUGUUACAAUAAUUCAACCACGAUUAAUUAAUUUUAAUGGUUGGUCAUUUAAACUUGGGUGUUUUUUCGGUAUUAAUAUAUAUAUUCCUCAAUUAUCAUAAAAAAUUAAGAAAAAACUAAUAAUAAGAUUAAAAAUAAAUGUUUUAUUCAUCGAAAUAAUUAAAAGUAAGGUUUACUUAAGGUAUAUAUGGGACGAUAAAAAAAUAACAAUAAGAUCAAUUUAUAAAAAAAAAAAUCAUAGAUUUAGUUUUCCUAAAUUUUAAAUGCAGUGUGAAUGCGUUCCGCAAGAAAAAAAAUAGUGCAAAAUUAGCCUUUCAAGAAGUAGAGAAUCUUCCUCUUUGAAGGAAUUAAUUAGUGGGUUGGAAAAAUGUCGUCUUUUGCUCUAAUAUUUUCUUCACUUUGUCAAUAGUUUUACCUUACACUAAUAUUGUCAGAAAAUGAUAUAUACUUCUUGUGUUAUAUCCUUCAAGAUUUCAAUUGAAAAGGAGGGUCGUAAAAAAAUUAAUUUUUAUAAACAUAUCCUUAACUCUGUAUCUUCUCUAGAUAUGCCUGUGACUGAGCUCCAUAAAGAAUUCCUAUUUAACAUUAAUCUGUCCAUCAAGUUUUCUCUAGAUAUGUCUGUGAUUAAGACCAUCUUGAUAAAUGAGAUUUUACUCUGUAAUUUUAAUGCAUAGCUGUCAAUGACCCGAAACAUGCAAAUUAAAAUUCAAAGUGUGAGCAUUGAAUUUCUUUCCGUGUUGUUUCCUCUUUCCCAUUGAUUGAAGAGCGUAAGAGGAAAAACUAAAAAGGCAAAAGUUCUGUUGUACAGUGAAAAAGAGCAUGAGAAAUACAGAGAAACAGAGAUGCAUGAAUCCUUCUCCACUAGCGUCUCUCGUCCAUCGGAUCAUUGUGGUUUCAAGAUUGAUGCCCUCUUUGUUCGAUUCCUCAGACCUUUCGGAAACUGUAUAUAUAUUCUAUAUAAAAGAUGCCCCGUGUUUUAGAAUUUACCCCGCGGGCAAGUCUGUGCAAGGGCAAAAGGGGACGGUGGACUUGACAAAGGGCUGAGGGGUGGGUGAGAUGCUAUGUCAAGAAAUGAUUUUGGAAAAUUUCUUCAUAUUUGUUGAAAAACUAAGAUAAGAUAGGAGUCUUGAUCAAGACAAGAACAUAGGCUCUCCAAGACGAUGGACUUGACAAAGGGCUGAGGGGUGGGUGAGAUGUUAUGUCAAGAAAUGAUUUCCAAAAUUUCUUCAUAUUUGUUGAAUAACUAAGAUAAGAUAGGAGUCUUGAUCAAGGCAAGAACAUAGGCUCUCCAAGACAAUUGAUCAGAAGGAGAGAAGGAAGGCUCUAUAUCCUUAGCACGUCAAACACUCCUUUGCACAUUAGAGAAAUUGUCGAGUUAUUUCUGCUUCUGCUUUUUCUUUUUCUUUUUUAAUAAUAGUCGAGUAUUAUUAUAGAAAGGUGCUAGAACCAAAAUUAUAGUCUAGCUAGCAUAAAAGAAAAACAGAGGACAGUAUAUACAAGACAGGGAGAGGAAGUAAUAACAUAACAUAAUAUAUAUAUGUAUAUAUUAAAAAACCUCGAGUUAACCCGUCAAGUUUAUAAACAAAUUCAAGAGAUUAAAUUUUGAUUUUUAAACACAACCAUCCAGUAAUUUCCUGGUGAUUUCCUUAUGCAUACUGUUUGAUGAAUCAUUUAAGUAAAUGUUCUUGUAAUGUUUUCAAGAGACUCCCCUGUUUUACAACUAAUUCACUUAUAUAUCUUGGAACAUGGCCAAAAACGAAGGGUUCUCCGGUUCAAGAAAAUUAACCAUGAAGCUCGUAGCUAUAAUUUUUAGCCAGAAGGGUGGCCAAAUAAACUCCUAUACACUGUAUCUCUGGAAGAAGUAAAAAUAGAUGUAUGUAUAUUACUUGACCGACACUUGCUUAUGUCAUUAUUUGUUUUUACCUUUUGCUAAUGAUUCCUCACAUUGCUGAUAUUGGUGUCGUUUGUGAGUUCAGGGUUCUUGCUCGCUGCUACUAACUUCUCUAUACCUAGCCUGGUCAUUAAAAAUGAAACUUAAUGAUUUAAUUACAAGAGCAGAAUAGAGACAUUAAAGACGCAUCUUCAGUUUUGUUUCAUAAAUCAGUUUAUAAAACUUUCUUACAAAAAUUAUAUACCAUGCAUUCACAAAUAUCGCAUGUAAGCAAAUUUAUGUUUGUGUGAAAAUGACAUUUUUUUAUAUAUAUAAACAUAAAUAUGAAUCUCAAGCUCUUUUAUAAUAUUAAGAGGUAGUAUAUUAAUAGUUGAACCAUUAUCCACCAAUAUAUAAUUCACCAUCUUUUUAUCGAUAUAGCUUUUAAUAAAUAAAUAAAAAGUUGUUUAUAAAGUUUUGAUAAGUAACAAGUUUUCAUUAUUAAAGGAUAUUUUUAUGGUGCAUACACCUUGAGACAAGUACACCUUGAGACAAGUUGAAAGAGCCAGUCAUGACAGACAUAGUAGGAGUUUUCUUUUAAAUCAUAUCAAAUUGCAAAGUAGCUUAUCUUAGUUAAGGUGUGUUAGGGGUGCUAAUAUCUUUCCUAGCUAUAAUUAGUCUUUUACUCGUAAAUCUCUAACAAAGACCAAUACAUUCGGGUUUUCUAAUAACCCUGAAUUAAAUACUAGAUGAUGACUCCAACAAUCAAACGAACAAGCAAAAAUCACCAUUGACGACGCGCGGGGACGGGCAACAAAGUUAAUGAAUAUUGUUGGUUGAAGAGAAGUAGCAUAUUGGAGGAACAACUCAUGCCACUAAUUUACAGUCACCAUAUUUAGAACUUCUACUCUAAAUUUAUUAUAUUCUAUUGUAUCAAUUGGUUAGAAUAGAUUGUAUAUUAAUCUAAAGUAAAUUCUUAUUUUAAUAACUUUAAAGAUGCACCUCCAUCUAGUGUAUUUAAAAAGAUUUAACAAAUUACUUCUUGUCUCUAAUAGUAAAAAUAAUAUAUUUUUAACAUGUGCUACGCUACAAGUCAGAUUAUAUAUUUUUUCAAUGUAAAAAAAAAUUAUGUAGGUAUUGUUAUAUUUUUCUAUUAGAAAAAAAAAACUUAAACCGUGUGAAAGUUAACCAAAUCUAUAAUUAAUUAAUUAAUUGAGAAUUUGAGCUCCUUAAGAAAAGUUGUUUAUGGACUUUUGUUUUCCUGAGAAAACUCCCUUAAAACCCUUGAGCACCACCUUCUCGAAAAUAUCUAUCUUUGCCAUAACGCAGGGGCUACGUAUCUUUUUAAGAUGAAUUAACAAGUUUCAACUCAUCUCUGUAUCUUCUCUAGAUACAGAGAAUUCCUAUUUAACAAUCUGUCCAUCAAAUUUUUGAUCCCCGAUUAAGACCAUCUUGAUAAAUGAGAUUUUACUCUAUAAUUUUAGUGGAUAGCUGUCAAUGACCUCAUACAUGCAAAUUAAAAUUCAAAGUGUGAGCAUUGAAUUUCUUGUCAGUUUACACCUUUCUGUGGUGUUUCCUCUUUCCAUUGAUUGAAGAGCGUCUAAGAGGAAAAACUGAAAAGGCAAAAGUUCUGUUGUACAGUGAAAAAGAGCAUGAAUCCUUCUCCACUAGCGGCUCUCGUCCAUCGGAUCAUUGUGGUUUCAAGACUGAUGCCCAAUCAUCGCCCUCUUUGUUCGAUUCCUCAGACUGAUGUUAUAGAAUAAUUUACCGAGAGUGGCGGAGGACUUGAGAAAGAGCUGAGGGGUUACGUCAAGAAAUAAUUUUGGAAAAUUUCUUCAUGUUUGUUGAAUAACUAAUAUAGGAGUCUUGAUCAAGGCAAGAACAUAGGCUCUCCAAGACGAUGGACUUGACAAAGGGCUGAGGGGUGGGUGAGAUGUUAUGUCAAGAAAUGAUUUUGGAAAUUUCUUCAUAUUUGUUGAAUAACUAAGAUAAGAUAGGAAGUCUUGAUCAAGGCAAGAACAUAGGCCCUCCAAGACGAUUGAUCAGAAGGAGACAAGGAAGGCUCUAUAUCCUUAGCACGUCAAACACUCCUUUGCACAUUAGAGAAAUUGUCGAGUUAUUUCUGCUUCUGCUUUUUUUUUUUUUUUAAAUAAUAGUCGAGUAUUAUUAUAGAAAGGUGCUAAAGCUAAAAUUAGAGGCUAUAGCUAGCAUAAAAGAAAAACAGAGGACAGUAUAUACAAGACAGGGGAGGAAGUAAUAACAUAAUAUAUGUCUUAAAAAAAACUCAAGUUAAUCCACCAGGUCUUCGCCCCGGAUCAUGAGAACGGAAUAAGAAAACUCAAUAUUAAAAGAUGAAAUUAAAAAAAAAACCAUAAAAAUAUAUAUAGCUUAACAAUAUUAAUUAAUUAUUAAAAUAUUUCAUUUUAUAUAUAUAUUAAAAAUAAAUAUUAAUAAUAUUAUAUCAAUUUGUGAAUGUUUCAAUUUAGAUGCGAAUGGAUGUUUUAUAUAUGACAUUUUUCUUAAGAAACCAAAGGUAUUAAGAAUAUGAAUCAAGGGUUAACGCUACUUUCAUUACGAUGACGGAUAAAGAAGACUUGCUACUUUUUUUAUGGAAAUAACAUGUGGAAAAUCAUGCCUUAAUCUUGACGGUAAUGGCAAAAUCAAACAAUAUCAUUGAUAAAAUGAACCACAAAUGAUAUUAUUUCUGUCAUGACAAUAAGUCUUUUUCUUUUUCUUUUUUUCUAAAAAAUCUAUUUUUUAUAACACAAUCAACAGGUAAGAUGGAUAAGAAUUUGUUAUGUGAGAUGGUCCCUAAGACUAUAUACUGCCAUCUGCAUUAAUUUCCAUGAUAUAGAAUUUUCUUCGAAAUGAUGACAAUAUCUUACAUUUCCUUGGCAUCGUGUUCCAAUGCCUUCGCAAAAUAUUAAAGGCUCCCAUGCCUCUCUAGCAAUAAAAUUAUUUUUUUAUUUGUCCCCGAAUACAUUUUUCAUUUAUCGAAAUAAUUAAUUUAAUCACACACAUAAAAAAAAAUAGAUCCAACUACCAUGCCAAUCCACAAUUUUUUUUUAUUAUUAUGAUUUAGUGUUAUGUUAACCAGGCAACAUUUAAUUACCAUGAUAUAAAAUACAAAAGUAGAGGGAACAUAAAAAACAUGUUUUUAUAUAUUUUUUAUUUUAAAAGUACAAAUUUUUACUUACAAACUAUUGUAAAAAGAUAUUUAUUUUAAAUUUAUCUAUAUUUUUAUAGUUCAAAAUUAAAAAUAAAACAGAAUUAAUCACUAACUUUAUAACAAAACUAGCAAAGGUAAUUUAUUAAUCACUAACUUUUCUGGUUAUAAAUAUAUUUAUAGUUGUCUUUUUCUCUUUUAUAUUUCUAACGAUUAACAAAUUGAAUAUAUAAUAAAUACCGAGUGAAAGAAUAAAUUUAGUUGUAUAAUGUGCUAAAGUUUAAAUAGACGACUUUAGAAUCACCAAGCAGUGAAUCACACAGGAAGAUUGAAAGAAUAAUUAAAGUGAUUUUACUAAAUGUUUUAUUCAUCGAAAUAAUUAAAAGUAAGGUUUACUUAAGGUAUAUAUGGGACGAUAAAAAAAUAACAAUAAAAUUAAUUUAAAAAAAAAUCAUAGAUUUAGUUUUCCUAAAUUUUAAAUGUAGUGUGAAUGCAUUCCGCAAGAAAAAAAUAGUGCAAAAUUAGCCUUUCAAGAAAUAGAGAAUCUUCCUCUUUGAAGGAAUUGAUUAGUGGGUUGGAAAAAUGUCUUUUGCUCUAAUAUUUUCUUCACUUUCUCUAUAGUUUUACCUUGCUCUAAUAUUGUCACAAAAUGAUACAUACUUAUUGUGUCAUCCUUCAAGAUUUCAAUUGAAAAUUAAGGAGGGUCGUCAAAAAUUUAAUUUUUAUAAACAUACCCUUAACUUAAUUUGGAUGUGGAUAAUUGUUUGAAAUAUAUUUACAUCCAAUAUAAACAACUCAUCAAUGAUCCAAGUCGGCAUUGGUUAGCUAAAAUAUUAAAAAUACUUACUCUUUUUUUUUUGGUGGCCAUGCAGUUCCUAUAUAUAUAUAUUAGUUGAAAUUUUAUGAUGUCCAUUAAUCCUUUUAAAUUAAAGUCAAGUUAUUAAUUAUAUCCUAUAAAUUUCUAGAAAAAUUAAUUCUCUCAAAUUUCGUCAUUUUAUUUACAAACUAUAGAAGGCCAUUGCUACAAACUAAAAUUCCAAGCAAGGAAGCUCUUUCAAAAACUUUUAAGCAUUUUUUAUCUACACUUGAGGUUUACAAAAAAUAAAAUUAUAUUGGAUCAAGCUUAAAUACUAUAUAAAAAUUCUUCAACAAUACAUUAAAAAUAAAUCAAAGGUACUCUUUAAAACAUCGAAUCAUUAAAUCUUACAUAUCAAAUAAAUCAAGUUAUCAUAUAUCAAAUUAUAAAGAAGAAUUAAAUGAUUGUUUUAUUUUUUUUAUAAAAAUAGUUUAAAUAGAAAUUAUUAUGUGUGGAUCAUAUGGCCCUAGGCAAAUUAAGGCCUCACAUAUAGCCAGCUAUAGCAUGGGAUAGCCAGCGGUCAUUCCAUCAGGAGAUUUGUGAAUUCUGGAGCCUUUGCAAUGUGCUUGCAUGUGUCCAAGAACCCACCAGGAACUCCAUUUUGACAGGGAAACCUUUGACGAACUGUAUUAUACGUGAUUUGCUCCUGGUUUUAUAAAUUAGAAAGUGUAAAUUGUAAAUCCCAACCAAUAAGAUAUCUACAUAAGAGUCUGUAAAUGUUACAGAUGAUUUAAGUUUGUUUACCAAAUUUUUCAAGAACAUGUUUGUCUUUGGUAGCUUAUUGUCAUAGCUGUGAACUCUGAAGAAAAUUGAUGUAAGAAACCAAAGUCCAUUUUGUUCUAGAUUGUAGAUGGAUAUAAGCUUGGUGAUUCCCAAUUCUUUUAUUAAUUUCAUUUUAUAAAUUCCCUGUGAUGUGUUCUUAAUUUCUAUACCACACCGAUGUCUGUUAGGUUCUGAUUCAAUCGAAUUGGAGCCGAUCAAAAUUGUAAUGACUCACAUGCCCUUGAUUAUGCCCAAGAAGAAAACUAAACAAAUAGUAGAUGAGCAGUGUGCUGAAAAUAAAUAUUUUCAGCAUAUUACAUAGAUCUAAAACAAUAGCACACAGGAAUUAAAAAGAGGAGGGAUCGCUAGGGAUCAUUUUCUUAUCUCCUGUAUCAUAUCUUCCACAAAUCUUAAGUAAUUGAUGAGAAAGUGGAUAUACCACUUUCUCUUCUUUAUUGCACUACUGGCUAAGAUGAGUUCAAGCAUUAAAAGGUUGUGAACGCGGAUGCUUGACUUGCUGUGUACCAUUUUGAUUUUUAAAAGCAACCAUGCAGUAAUUUCCUGGUGAUUUCCUUACGCAUACUGGUGGUCUCUUCCAGAAUCUUUUUCCAAACAACCCUCAUAUUGUUUGAUGAAUUAUUUUCUUUAUUCCCGUUUCAAUGUUUUCAUACUUCGAUACUGUAGAGUAUAUAUUGCAAUGUGAUAUAAGGUUAACUCAUUGCAUUUUCAUUAAUUGAAAGGAUUUCUCUUUUUUUCUUUGUCAAUUACAGCACAUGCAUGGAGGUGUUCUUACUCAGAGUAAAUGCUAUUGUAAUGUUUUCACAUAGACUCCCCUGGUUUGCAACUAAUUCACUUACAUAUUAUAGAACAUAGCCAUAAAUGAAAGGUUCUUUCAAUUCAAGAAAAUUAACCAUGAAGCUCGUAGCUAGAAUUUUUAGACAAAAUGGUGGCGAAGUAAACUCCUAUACUCUGUACCUCUGGAGGAAGUAAAAAAAGAUGUCUAUGUAUAUUACUUGACCGACACUUGCUUAUGUCAUUAUUUUUUUUUUUAACUUUUUGCUAAUGAUUCCUCACAUUUCUGAUAUUGGUGUGGUUUGUGAGUUCAUGGUUCUUGCUCGCUGCUACUAACUUCUCUACUUUGCCUGGUCUGAAAUCUCAGCUCAGAAAACCUAUUCGCAAGCAUAUAACCUGUUAAAAUCCCUCCAACACUUGACUACAAUAAUUUGUUAACUACAUGCUACCUAAUAAACUAAUCAUAGCUCCUAGAGCAUUCAGAAUUCUAUUAUGCUUUUUGGGUUGUAAACUAGUCUCAAUUACCUUUUCAUCCAUGUAUAUAAUUCAGAUAGCAAUUCCUUUUAUAUAAUUUAUAAUAAUCUCCGAAAUCAUUCCUGGGUAUUGUUAACAGAUAGUCCGUCCACGUAUUCUUUACUAUUUUCAUCAUAGCUAUUUCUGUGAAAACUGGAUUAAUGCACCAUUUAUGGUAUUAAAAACCAGAGGGAACAAGCUUUUCCUAUGUAUAAAAUUUGGGUUAAAAACAGUUUCUAUUCAAAUCAUUUUUUGGAUCAAACAGUAGCCCCUGUAAAAUACUUAAACUAACAACUUCUAACUUUAUUGUCUAAUUGUUAACCUAAUACUUCUAUACCAUUAAACAACCACUAAGCAAUCAUAUUUUCAUGAUCUAUACCACUAAGCAAUUAUAUUUUCAUAACCUAUUUAAUUAAUCCGAAACCUUUCUAAAUAUAAUGUUUUUAUUAUCUCGAAAUAAAAAAAACAUAAUCUCACUACAACAUUUAAUAAUUUUUUCCACAUUAAAAAUAUUCAAAUUAGUUUUGUUGGCAUAUAACCUCACCAAACUAUUUGCUUGGACCACAUUGACUGGGAGUCAAUUAUUGUCGUAAUUGAUGAGAAAGUGGAUAUACCACUUUUUCUUUAUAGCACUAUUGGCCAAGAUGAGUAAUUUCCUGGUGAUUUCCUUAUGCAUACUGGUGGGCUUCCAGAAUCUUUUUCCAAAUAAUCCUCGUUAGACACUACUUGGGGUUUAGCUUGGAGUAAGAUUUGUAUCAUGAUUUUUUAUCAGGUUACGGGUUAACUUGGAUCAACCUAAUACUAAUUUUGUGUGUGUGUCAAAACAAUAUUGUUUUUUAUAUAUAAACCUAAAUAUAAAUCUCGAGUUUUUUUAUAAUCUUAAGAGGUAGUAUAUUAAUAGUCGAAUCAUUAUCCACCAAGAUACAAUUUACCAUCUUUUUAUUGAUAUAUGUUUUAAUUAAAAAAUAUUGUUUAUGGAGUUUUGAUCCAAGCAACACGUCUUCAUCAUUAAUGGAUAUCUUUGUAGUGCAUACACCUUGAGACAAGCUGAAAGAGUUAGUUUUAGUAGGAGUUUUCUAUAUAUUUUUCUCAUUUUUUAUGUUAAAUUAGGAAGAGAUGAAUAAGAAACUGAACUUGAGGAUGGACUAUAUCAUUGUUAACUUCUUGAUAAGAAUACUCCAACAUGAUGGUCAGUGCAAAAAAGAAAACAAAGUAAUUAAACAAGACAGACUUAGGAUUCCACAGAUCAAUAUACCUACAAAACUUCUCGAGUGAAACGACCAACAAUAAGGCUAAGCUAUGAGGUCAACACACUAAAAAGCACCCAUUAGCUGGACACAUUCAAGAAAAUUGCCGACAAGUUUCGAACUAACACAAUUUUGGGCCAAGAAUGCAAGAAGCAAACAACUUAUUCCCUCACCAGCAACCACAACAAAUUCAGUACUCCCAUGCUAAGAUCUUCUGAAGUUGGAGAACUUGCGAAAAUUAAUACGUACAAGGCUUCAACACUCCAAAGCCUGCAAGAGAAAUAUCAAAGCAAAAUAAGUAGCGUUAAACAGCAGCCAUUUCAUCAUUUUUAAUUUUAGUAUAACGCAAUAAUAUGAACCAGCCUUGAUUCUCAAAGGCACCCAACUAAUUCAUUAGCCUUCAAAUCAAGACUUUGCAAUUCUUUCAAAGGCAGAAACAAAGAUGCUUUGAGAACCCACUCGCCUAACCCCCAAUCCCCAGCACCCCCAAGAGAGAGUUGGAUCACUCGCCUUUCAGUGGUAUCGCACACGAUCCUAGACCACGCACAACAAUUACUGCCCAGGUAUCUCGGCAGUUAUGGCUUGUGUAGGUUUUGGUUCACGAUGGAGAUGAUGGAUACAAUAAUGUAUUUCGACAACAAAACUUUCAAUUCUUGUAGAGUUCUUGUUAGUUGAUUGUUUUAGGACUGCAACGUGUCUAAGUAUCAGAAAUUAUUUUAUGCUUUCAUUCUGUUUUUAGUUUGUCCUAGUCUUUAGGAAGUGGUUAGUUUGUUGGCACACGUUGCUGUUCAUGGCACACGUUGAUGUUCAUGGCUUAAUUCUCGGUUUCAGUUUUUUUCUCUGUUUCUAUUUAAUGUAAGCUUGCUGCAUAAUAAUAUUUGAAUUCCCAGUUUGUAUUCCCUUAUCUACUAUUUCUAUCUUUCUCCCUUCUCCAUAUCCAUAAACUUCUACCUCUGUUAUACUCCUUUCUUUCUUUAAAACUAACAAAUUGGUAUCAGAGCUUUUAUUGUUCUUAAGGGAUCUGUGUGUGACUUUGACGUAUCAUGGAAGCUGAAACAAGUUUCUCCUCAAUUGCUCCGCCAGUGUUCAAUGGUGACAACUACCAAAUUUGGGCAGUACGCAUGGAGACAUAUUUGGAAGCUUUGGAUCUUUGGGAAGCAGUGGAUGAAGACUAUGAUGUUCCUGUACUUCCAAACAAUCCCACCAUGACGCAGAUCAAAACUCACAAGGAGAUGAAGACGAAGAAGUCAAAGGCCAAAGCAUGCUUGUUUGCUGCGGUGUCAACAACAAUCUUCACAAGAAUAAUGUCCCGUAAGACAGCCAAGUCUAUAUGGGAUUACCUUAAGGAAGAAUAUGCAGGAGAUGAAAGGAUAAGAGGAAUGCAGGUUUUAAAUUUGAUACGGGAUUUCGAGUUGCAAAAGAUGAAGGAAUCUGAAACAAUUAAAGAGUAUUCAGAUAGACUUCUUGGAAUUGCAAAUAAAAUCAGGCUACUCGGGUCUGAAUUCAGUGAUUCAAGGAUUGUGGAAAAAAUCCUUGUCACAGUACCUGAAAGGUAUGAAGCGACAGUUACCACCCUGGAAAAUACCAAGGAUCUGUCAAAAAUUUCCUUGGCAGAAUUACUUAAUUCCCUACAGGCGCAAGAGCAGAGACGACAUAUGAGGCAAGAGGUCAACACUGAAGGAGCCUUAUUUGCAAAACAUCAUGGAGCUUACAGAAACAAAAGGAAAGAGAAGAAAGGCCAAGAGGGAAAUUCUUUUGCUCCUGUUUUGAACAACAACAGAAGCAAAAAAGGAAGCUUCAAGGGUAAAUAUCCUCCUUGCCAUCAUUGUAAAAAGGAAGGUCACCCUCCAUUCAAAUGUUGGAGGAGACCUGAUGCAAAAUGUUCAAAAUGCAAUCAAAUGGGACAUGAAGCAGUAAUUUGUAAGGGAAGAGCUCAGCAGCAUGAAGUUGAUGCCCAAGUUGCAGAACAAGAAGAUGAAGAUCAGCUUUUUGUAGCAUCCUGCUUUGCAAGUAGUAGUUCGACUGAAAGUUGGUUAAUUGACAGUGGUUGUACCAAUCACAUGACCAAUGACAAGAAACUCUUCAGAGAUUUGAGGCCAACUGAUAUUACUAAAGUCAAAAUUGGCAAUGGUGAUCACAUCUCUGUCAAAGGAAGAGGGACAAUCACCAUAACCAGCACAGCAGGCACAAAAACAAUUUCUGAUGUUCUCUACGUACCAGAAAUUAAUCAAAAUUUGUUGAGCGUAGGCCAAUUGAUUGAAAAAGGCUUUAAAGUGCUCUUUGAAGAUGGUUUCUGUCACAUACUGGAUGCUAACAGUGAGGAAAUUCUCAAAGUGAGAAUGAAAGGAAAAAGUUUUUCGUUUGAUCCUAUCAAAGAAGAACUUGCUGCAUUCUCCAUGAAAGCUUGCAACACAGAGAUAUGGCACAAGCGACUUGGUCAUUGUCACUUACAAAGGAUGCAACUUAUGCAGGAAAGGGAACUCAUAGUUGGCUUACCAACCUUUGGAGAUCACUUACCGAAUUGUCAUGCUUGUCAAUACGGUAAACAAAAUAGGAGACCAUUCCCAAAGUCAUCCUGGAGAGCCACUCACAAGUUGCAGCUAAUCCACACAGAUGUAUCAGGUCCUCAAAGAACUGAAUCAUUAGCAGGUAGUCGAUAUUACAUUGCUUUUAUUGAUGAUUUUUCAAGAAUGUGCUGGAUUUUUUUCUUGAAAUUCAAGUCAGAAGUAGCUGGAGUCUUCUGGAAGUUCAAGAAGAUGGUAGAAAAUCAAAGUGGCUGCAAAAUUCAAGCUGUAAGGUCAGAUAAUGGAAAGGAGUACACUUCAGCAGAAUUUGAUAUGUUUUGUGAAGAAGCUGGCAUUGAACACCAGCUUACUGCUCCUUACACUCCGCAGCAAAACGGAGUAAGUGAAAGGAGAAAUAGAUACAUAAUGGAGAUGGCCAGAUGCAUGCUACAUGACAAGGAGUUACCCAAAUAUUUUUGGGCUGAAGCGGCCAGUACUGCUGUUUUCUUACAGAACAGAUUAUCCACCAAAGCAUUGAAGGAUAAAACUCCAUUUGAGGCAUGGUAUGACUAUAAACCUUCACUCAAUUUUCUUAGAGUGUUUGGUUGCUUGUGUUUCUCUCACAUUCCACAGGUCAAGCGGGAUAAACUUGAUAAAAAGUCAGAACCAGGCAUCUUUGUUGGGUACAGCUCUUUCUCGAAGGCAUAUAAGGUUUAUCAACCUCAAACAGGGAAGAUAAUUGUCAGUAGAGAUGUGUUCUUCAAUGAAGAAGAGAAAUGGAAUUGGGAACAGACAAAAGAGACAUCCACAAGCAAGCAAAAAUCAAGUCUAACCUCCCAAACAAGAGAAGAGCAAGCAUCAGAACAAUGGCAAGAAGAAUUGGAAGAUGAUCUUCCAAUUCGUGGAACAAGACCGCUCCAUGAUAUCUAUCAACGAUGCAAUGUGGCCAUUUGUGAACCUGCUGGUUAUGAAGAGGCUAUUAAAGAUCCAAAAUGGCAGAAGGCGAUGGAGGAGGAGCUGUCAAUGAUAAAAAAGAACAAGACUUGGGAGCUAGUUGACAGGCCAAAGGAUAGAAAGAUUAUUGGAGUAAAAUGGGUGUUUAGAACCAAGCUCAAUGCUAAUGGUUCCAUCAACAAACACAAAGCCAGGCUUGUUGUUAAGGGAUAUGCUCAAGUCUUUGGAGUUGAUUACUCGGAUACAUUUGCCCCUGUUGCUAGAUUGGAUACUAUUCGGCUUGUGCUAGCUAUAGCAGCUCAAAAUGGGUGGAAGGUGUUUCAACUAGAUGUGAAAUCUGCUUUUUUAAAUGGUAUUUUGCAGGAGGAAAUCUAUGUUGAACAGCCCGAGGGAUUCAUGGAACAAGGUGAAGAGGAGAAGGUCUACUUGCUCAAGAAGGCUCUAUAUGGCUUGAAACAAGCACCUAGAGCAUGGUAUAGCAAGAUAGAUGAGCAUCUGUCAAGCCUAGGAUUUCAGAAAAGUUUGUCAGAGGCUACUCUUUAUGUGAAAUGUAAAGGAGACAAUCUGCUUAUAGUCUCUCUUUACGUUGAUGAUCUUUUAAUCACAGGUGACAAUGCCAAGCUUGUUGAAGAGUUCAAAAGGGAAAUGAUGAAAUUUUUGAAAUGACAGACCUUGGACUCAUGGCAUACUUUCUGGGAAUGGAGAUCAAACAGUUAGAAAAUGAAGUUUUCAUCUGUCAAAAGAAAUAUGCCAAGGAAAUUCUCAAGAAGUUUCAUAUGGAGGACUGUAAGGCAAUGGCUACUCCAAUGAAUCCAAAGGAAAGCUUAAGUAAAGAGGACGGCACAGACAAAGUUGAAGAAGGCUAUUUCAGAAGCAUGAUUGGUUGCCUAAUGUACCUAACAGCAACCAGACCAGAUAUUCUUUUUGCUGUAAGCAUUCUCUCUCGUUACAUGCAUUGUGCUAGUGAAGUGCAUCUUAAAGCUGCAAAAAGAGUCAUUAGAUACAUCAAAGGAACUAUUGAUUUUGGUGUAAAAUUCAAGUACUGUCAAAACUUCAAGUUGCUGGGAUUUUCUGACAGUGAUUGGGAUGGAUCAGUGGAUGACAUGAAGAGUACAUCUGGGUAUUAUUUUAGCCUAGGAUCAGGAGUUUUCUCAUGGAGUUCCAAGAAGCAAGAGACUGUAGCACAGUCUACUGCCGAGGCUGAAUUUAUUGCUGCUACAGCAGCAGUGAAUCAAGCUUUGUGGCUGAGGAAGUUGUUCUGUGAUUUACAUUUGAAGCAACAAAAUGAUACAGAGGUGUUUGUGGACAAUCAGGCAGCAAUUGCAAUCUCCCACAAUCCUGUUUUUCAUGGAAAAACCAAGCAUUUCAAGAUCAAAUUUUUCUUUUUAAGGGAAGUGCAGAAGGAAGGAGAAGUGAGCCUCAUUUAUUGCAAAUCUGAAGAUCAGCUUGCAGACAUUUUUACAAAACCUUUGCCAGCAAACAAGUUUGAACCUCUUAGGCAAAGACUUGGAGUUUGCAGCUCCUAAAUCAUGGAGGAGUGUUAGUUGAUUGUUUUAGGACUGCAACGUGUCUAAGUAUCAGAAAUUAUUUUAUGCUUUCAUUCUGUUUUUAGUUUGUCCUAGUCUUUAGGAAGUGGUUAGUUUGUUGGCACACGUUGCUGUUCAUGGCACACGUUGAUGUUCAUGGCUUAAUUCUCGGUUUCAGUUUUUUUCUCUGUUUCUAUUUAAUGUAAGCUUGCUGCAUAAUAAUAUUUGAAUUCCCAGUUUGUAUUCCCUUAUCUACUAUUUCUAUCUUUCUCCCUUCUCCAUAUCCAUAAACUUCUACCUCUGUUAUACUCCUUUCUUUCUUUAAAACUAACAGUUCUUUAUGGAAAAGGGAUUGCGAAGAGGGGACUCUUUAUCAACAUCUCUUUUCAAUAUAGCAACUGAGGGUCUUAGUAGAAUGCUAAGAACAGAUGUGAUUUGGGACUUAUAAAAGGUAUUUGUUUUGGUCAUGAUCAACCGAAAAUUACUCACUUUUAGUUUGUAGAUGAUACACUCAUCUUCAGUUCAUAUGAUUUUCCAUCUCUUCAAAACAUCAAAAGAACUAUGUGAUGUUUUGAGUUGAUUUCUAGGCUGAAGGUUAAUUUCCACAAGAGCUCAAUCACUAGAACUAUUGUUACUUCUUUAGCAAUCUAAUAUGUAGGAUGGAGGGGAUGCCAUUUAAGUAUUUGGGCCUGCCUAUUUGUGCAUCUUCAUCUCAUGUGGAAAACUAUUGUUAAUAGAAUCAAUAGCAAGUUGGCUGCCUGGAAAGGUCGUCACUAAGCUUGCUUAAAUCAAUUAUAAAUAAUCUCCCUAUCUACAACCUUUCUUUAUUUCCUAUCACAUCCAUUGUUGCUACCAAAAUUGAGAAACAUAUCAUAUCUUUCUUUGGUUCUUAGGAGGAACGAGGGAAAAAACUAUGCAAUGUUAAAUGGGCAUCGGUCGUUCCUCCAAAAACAAAAGCAAAAAGGGCUAGGUAUAAACUACAUUAUUGAUAAAAAUCAUGGGUUAAUAACACUUCCAUACCAAUCAAAGAGAUAUGUAUUUUUCCUAUUACUUUCUCAAGUUACCAUGAUGAGAGUGUAAUGUGACUCCAAUAAAUGUAGGAUAUGUUAGGUAUAUAAUGUCUCUGUGAUAUGGACAUCGUCAUUUUUGGUAUGUCAAAUUCUUACUAUUUCACUCUUAAAAGUAGAAAGAUCUACUUAGUUGGACCACCAGUACCAAGGCUUAACAACAAUAAUGAGGAAAAAAAAGCAUGUGUAAGGAAAGGGAUUUAAUCUUAUAAGCCCAAAUAAUUUUGACAAUCAGGUUCAUCAAGAGUUUGUUGUAUUUGCUUUAGUGGUUAAGAAAGUUUUAGAGAAACCACUUGAAGAAGUAAUUACGGUUUUAAAAGAGUUUCAAGAUGUUCGUCCUCUCAAGGUUCAUAAUUCCUUACCCCGUUAUACAUGACAUUCAACACGUAAUAGAUUUUAUCCAGUGAACCUGGUGAUUCCACCUCACGUUCAUCCUCCACCCGCUGAAGACUACCAUUGAAAGAGAAAAGCUCCACCUUUGGGUAUAAACUGGAUUGAUUGCAUUCCAUCUGAAUCACGUGGGCUUAAUGGAAGGAACGAACAAUUGUCGGUUUUAAAAGUUUGGUUUGUAACAAUCAUUGUUGUCAUAACCCAAUUUUUGAUCAUUUUAUUUUUAUUUUUAUUUUAUUUUUAUUUUAUUUAUUGAAAAGGAUAAAAAAAAAUUGAUGAAAAAAUAAUAAUGAUGAUGAAAAAAGAAGUAAAAUGAAAUAAAUGAAGAAUGAAUUAAAUUUUAGGUUAAGGGUAAUAUGAAUGAAAGUUUUGGGGUUUAAUUAAACAUUGGAAUUAAUGUAAUUAAGGUUGGAAUUAAUUUAUUUAAUCUAAUUAAGAGUUUAAUUGGAGAAUUGAUAAGUUUGGAGACUUAAUUAAGCUUGAAAUUAAUUCAAUUAAUCCAAUUAAGGGUUUAAUUGGAGAAUUGAUAAGUUUUGAGACUUAAUUAAACUUGGAAUUGAUUUAAUUAAUCCACUUAAGGGUUUAAUUGGAGAAUGGAUAAGUUUUGAGACUUAAUUGGACUUUGGAUUUAAUUAAAUUAAUGAAAUCAGGGACUUAAUUAAGGAAAUAUCAAAGUUUGGAGUUUAAUUGAGGUCCAAAUUGAAACAAAUAAAAUCAAAGGACCAGCAUGAAAAUGGCGCCGAAAUACAGGGGUCCAAUUACAAUUUAACUAGGGACUUAAUUACAAAAAUAUCAAACAUACAAGGUCCAAAAUGCAAAUAGCCAUUAAACACAAAAACGGCGCCGUUUUCCCUUUUCUGUUCAUCUUCUUCCCGACUGAAACGGCGCCCCGCCGCUCCCACCAUUACACCUGCAAUUAACACCAUGGCUUAAAGAAACGGCAUUCUUCUCUGGCUAUAAAAGCCAGAGAUAGUCCAUGCAUAAGGGGGAGAGAAAAAAAACAGAGCCACAAACGGCAGAAAUAAGGAGUCACAGAACCGGAGGAAAGAAAAGGGAGCAGAACCGGGUAGGGAGACUGUACAGAUGGGAGCAGAAUUUGUGCCCUUGUUUCUUCUAAAAGACACAGAGGCGCUCGGCGCCAUUCUCUGGUAAGCCAGAGAAGGCCAUAGAGAAGGAAACAAGUAACUCAGGGGGCAGCGCCUUCCCCCCUUCACCACUGAACUCACAGACGAAGAAGAAAAGGCAGCAGACCAAGAAACCCAGAAACAGGAGGACGAAGACACUGGAAACACGAACAGGGGAACCGAGAACCAGCAAGAAAGAAAACCGAAACAGAGGAAGAACAAGAGGACAACGCAGGAGCAUACAAAGGAACCGAAGCAGAGUUUUGGCCGCUCAUCCAUCACGCCUCCGUCUCCUAAAUCAGAGAGCAAGCCAGGCGAACAAAAACGGAGAAGAGCCAGAGAACAAGAACGCUUCGCCUCCAGCAGACCAGGUAAGUUCUUCCUCUUCCCCACUUUUCAAAUUCAUUUCACCUAUUACUUUGCAAAGGUAAUACACUUACCUUAUUACUGUUGCCAGCAUGCGUGCCCAGCCGGGUCACUGGCUUGGGCCAAUGACCGGGCUGGGUCCAGCCCAGCCCAUGUGGGCUGAGCUGGACCCAGCCCAAAAAAAAUAAAAAAAAUAAAAAAAUAAAAAAAAUAAAAAAUAUGUAUGCAUGAAUAAAAAUAAUGUAAAUUUAUUGGUUUAUUCACUUGCGCUAGAGUCAGGAAUAAAAAUACCGGUUUAAAUUUAUAUUAUUUUUAUUCGUUGUAUUUUUAUUUUGUUUAGCUAGAAAAAAUAAAAAAAGUGUGCAUGCGUAAAAAAUAAAUUUAUUUUUAUUUAUUUAUUCACUGGCGCUGGAGUAGGGAAUAAAAUAUAUUGAUCUAAUUUUUGUCGUAGCUACGAAUUUUUACCAACGCCAAAGUUGGAAUUAUUCGAGCUCGAAUAUUCACUGGUGUCAGAGUCUGGAAUAUUAUAGACAAAUCAUCACAGCAUAAAUUAAUAAAUAUUUAGCAAUUUAAGAAAAAACCAACAAUGCAGUCUGCCUUAGACAUAAUGUUUAAGGGGUGAUAAUAUCUUCCCUUUUACAUAACCAAUCUCGAGUCAUAGAAUCUCUGUUGACCAGUUAGGGUUUCUAGUAACCAUAAUACUAGGUGGCGACUCCUCAAACAAUACUAUUUUUACUAAAAGAACAAGAUGCCAGAAACUUGUUUUUUUUUCAUUAAUAAUUCAAGAGAAUUAUUUUUUAGGACCGUCGCGAUGUCGGGUGUGACAAUUGUAAUUUCAAAUCUCCAUACUCCUUCCAUUUAAGCAAGUAAUAAUAACAGAGAAUAUGUAUAAAUCUCAGUGUUGUUUUAAAUUUUAUGUAAGAUAGUACAGUUUCAUUCAAAAAAUGAGAAAGAACAAUAAAAAUCCUCAAAUUCUACCACCUUUGUAAGAUUGACAAGCUUCGCCUACUCUAACUGUAACGAAAGAUUCAGUGCCUAAUCUCUGGACGGAGAAGGGGACGCCCUUGUUAUGUACACGGUUGCUCUAAAUGAUUCGAUGAUGCUCAUUUUAAACAUAUCACGUCAGGUUAUCAAUCUCGUUCCGGAUAGUGUUUUAUUUUUUAAUUCAAACGGUAUGUUUUGAUUUCGGAGCAUUUCAGCAUGCUAUUUCAAGAUUAUACUGUUUAUAUAUAUAUAUAUAUAUAUAUAUAUAUAUAUAUAUAUACUUAAUAAACAUAAGUUCAAUUCAUAUUUAAAUAUAAACUAACUUGAAAUUAUGUAAUUUAAAUUUUAAACACAAGUAAAAAAGUGAGAGUUGAACCGAUAUGACCCGAUCGACUUAUGGGUCCAAAGACAACAACUAGUAAGACUAGAGUUUGACUCAAAAAAGUUUAAGAUGACAUAUUUUCAAAAACAAUAUUGAGAUAACAAUUUAUUGGAUUAACUCGAAUCAACUCAGGUUAACCUUCUAAAUCCAUAAUCCAGGUUAUGAGACCAUAAUAACCCCAAAUAAAGCAAAUAAAAAUGAAUUCUUAAUAAACCUAUUAUUGAAUGGUUAAAUUAAAAAAAAAAUUAUUCUAAAAAAAGAACACAAAAAAUAACCUUUCAAAACAAAAUUAUGAAAAUGUCACUAGCAAUUUUGCAAGGCCUUUCUAAACUCCAAUUGCCCCAUAAUUUUAACCUGAGAUAUAAAAAUAUAUUAGGAGAAUCUUGAUAGAAAGCAAAUAAAAAAUCAUAAAAUCUAAUUUUUAAUCAAUCUAAUGUUGAAUAAUAAUAAAAAAUUAAUUAAAAAAUAAAUCUAAUUCAACCGGAUUAAUCCACUAAACCAAGUUGAAUAACUAAGAUGUUAUGUCAAGAAAUGAUUUUGGAAAAUUUCUUCAUAUGUGUUGAAUAACUAAGAUAAGAUAGGAGUCUUGAUCAAGGCAAGAACUUAGGCUCUCCAAGACGAUUGAUCAGAAUGAGAGAAGGAAGGCUAUCAUUCUCCUACGCACUAACUCUUAGUCUCAGAGAAGAAACAAUUACUUGGUUCUAUAUCCUUAGCACAUCAAACAUGAGGGGAUGAACAAUAUGGUUGAAAAUUAAUUUUUUUUUUAUAAUCAACUUUGGGUUAUUGUGCCUUAAACUUUGUUAUUUGUUUUAUUUUAUUUUUAAGGUUAUUUCUAUUUAAUAUCCCAGGUCAUGAAUAAAUCAAGUUAAUCUGAGUUCAUUCAAUUUUUCUUUAAUUGAUUAUUUUAAUCUUAUUAUUUAUUACAUUAUUGGUGUUUGAGUUUCAUGAAUUUUGUCACUUUUAUCUUAGGGGGUUUUUUCAUCUUUUUGUUAUUGAUUAACUUUGGUCUUGACUCUUGGCAAUGUUUGGAUAAAAACAUGACUGCGAUAAUGAAUUUAUAGACUUGCAGACUAUAAAUUAUUUCAGUUUCUCUAAUCACAGUGGCCAUUAUCCAACCAAUAAUCUUGGCAGUUCAAUAGAGAACAAUAAUAGAGUGAAAAAAGUAGCAUGAUCUGUCAGAUAUGCAAGAGUUCAUUGCAAAAAGAGAAAUUAAUGAAAUCUAGCAAGCAAUGCUCAAGCCAUCUAAAGCAGACAAUGCAAGUUUCUGUAUUUUUUUCUUGCAAAUUUCAAUUCAGACCAAGAUAAUCCGACCCAAUCUGUUUUUUUAACGAACGAUGCUCAAGCCAUCUGAAGUAGAGAAUGUAUGUUUCUUUUUUUCUUUUUAUUUUUUUCAUGUUUAUUCCGGACCAAGAUAAUCAGAUCCAAUCUAUUGUUGUGAAUUACAAAUGAAAAGAAAAAAGACAAUAAAAGCUAUCUAUUGUGCAAGCCACUCAAACUGUUUAUGGAAGUUGGAAAGGCAGGGAAGGCAAAUCUAGUUUCUCAUUGCUUCCUCGUGAACUCCAGGCUAAAAGUAACAGUGGAACUACUGUCCUUUGAACAUAACAUUUAAAGUAGUUGGUGGAAAAUUUUCUUUUGAACAUCAUAAAAAGUAGAAGAAUUGAAAGGGAAACAACAAAUGCUAAGGCAAAUUGAAAGGGAGAAGAAUGAACAAUGGCAUGGAAAGUAACUCUUAAGCGAAAGAUCAAUCAUCAUAUUUAAGACAAAGCCAUAGUAAGACAAUUAAGCAUGCCAAAGUUCUUUUAUAUGUAUCUGUGAGAAAAAGGGUGAUGUUCAUGUAACCUAAGUUGUUGAUUCCAAGUACAUUUGAGAGCUUCAUCUAGAAAAAAAAAAUCAACAUGGAAUGUUAAAAACGAUCGAUCAGUUAAGAAAUGAAAGAGGCAAUGCAUGGAUAAACCAAUGGAAGCUAAAAAGCUAAUGUUGUCCCUAGUAAGCAAUUGUUGCCGCAAUGACAUAUGAGUAGCUAGAGAAAAAAAAAGAAAAAAAGAAAAAGAGACGCUUGAAGGUUAGAGAAGGCAUCUCUGAGUGGAAGGAGGCUGAGCUGCGCUAUUUUUUAAAAGUAAAUAACAAAAAAACUUGUAUUCUUUCGAGAAGUGUUUAUGAGUGUGGUAGUGGUUGCUUUUUAGAAUAUUUUUCGCUUGAAAAUGGAUCAAAAUAAAAUUUUAUUUAAUUUUUAAAAAUUAUUUCUAAUAUUAUUAUAUUAAAAUGAUCUAAAAACAUAAAAAAUAUAUUAAUUUGAAGUAAAAAAAUAAUUUUUUUUUAAUUUUUUUAAUAAUAUUUUAAAAAACAAACAAAUAAAAUAUUAGAAAGUAGACUACAAGUCAAAGUCUUUUUGGAAAAAGACAUGAAUAGAAGGUUAGAGCUACGUAGCUCAUUUUCUGCCCUAAUAAAGAUCAAGGCCUCUUCAGAAAACUAAGUAUGUAGGCAUACACCCAAUCCCAAGCACAGUCAAAUCAUUUUUUUAUAUAUAGGGAUAUAGCUUCACAUAACAGAUAAAAAAAAUUAAAAGAUAAUAAAAUUAAAAAAAUAAUUAUAAUUUUAUAAAUUAUUACAAAUAAAAUAAAUAUUAAUUAAAAAAAUAAAAACCAAAUAUAAUAAAUUAAAAUAAUCAAUUUAAAAAAGAUUUAAAAAGUAAAUAAGAAUAAAGUCAUGUAUUUCACUUUGCUCUCUCUCUCUCCCUCCCUCCCUCCCUCCCUAAGGCGUAGCUGUGCAUCUAGUUAGGAAGAACAUUUUACAACUUAACUCAAGGUCGAGCAUGGUCAGGGUUAUUGUGUUGUCUGUUCCGUGUGUAAUGUGGGGUUCAAUCCAUGUGAAUCACACGAGUACUUGUCAAAUUAGUUAUUUCUUGUUUGUAAGUAUUAUUGUAUUGCAAAGACAAAAAUAAGAUGCAACUUAUGGCGUGGUCGUCCAACCUGGUUCUGGUUUUGAUAAUGUUAAAAAUCUAUUUUGUUGAAUUGUUGAUUUACUUGUGACUUUUCGGGUUAACUAUAUCAAUUUUUUAAACAAAACAAUGCCAUUUUUUUAAUAAAAAAUUGGUUCUGACCUAGAAAUAUAAUAUUAGAACUUAAACCUUAUUGAUUAUCUAAAACUCAAUGGGAAAUUUAAUUUUGAAAUAGAUUUUUAUAAAAUUAAAUAUUAACUAAGUAUCAGGAAGUUUAUUUGAAAUUACAAUAACCUUAUACAAAACAAUCAUAAACAAAUUUAUUAAAUUCAAUGGAGUUCAUAAGUAGGAUUACGAGUUCAACAAGUUAAGCCACAAAGCCUCGAUCGAUCUAAUAUGUUUUUGUUUUAAUACAAAAAAAAUACAUAAAAAAAUUAAGUUAGACCAUAUUUCUACCUAUUAUCUGGGUUGUUUUCAGACUUGUUAAGUCGACUAAAACAUAUUAAAACAACUUCCAUAUAGUUAAAUUUAAAACUUGAGUAAGAAAAAAAAAUUAAAUCAGAAAAUUUUAAUAUUAAUUUGUUGAAUCGGAUUUAAUAAAUGCUAAAAAUCUGAAUAUUUCUUUUUUACUCAAUUUGUUUUUAAUUCAACUCGCAUAAUAACACAGUAUAGUAAAAUAAAUAGAUAUAAAAUAAUUUGAUGGAUCCUCGGGAUAAAAGAUUGUUUUAGGACAUUUUGCUAAUUUCUUUUGUUAUCUAAUCAAUCAAGCUCACAGUGAAUAAGUAUAUAAAUAUAUACAAUUAAAUUAAAUAACAUAUAAGAGAAAAAUAAUCGAAAGGUAAAGCUAAAGUGAUGCGACGUUGAGCCACUAGUCGAUAGUUGUAACGUCAGUUUGUUGGUUCGUCGUUCGUUUCUCGGAUUUAUUGAUCUUUAGGUUGUCUGUUUCUAGAAAAGAAAGAAAAAAAUAUUUAUAUUAUCAAUGCAAUGCAAUGCAAUGCAAUGCAAUGACUAAAUAAUAUUUAAAUAUUAUCAUAGCUUUGUCCUCAUACCUAAGGAAGUAUACUACGUCUUUUUCUCGAUUUGUUUUGAGUUUGAAAUUAUAUCUGUAAACCCAUUAAUUUAUCUAGAAAAAAAAAUUACAGGGUAAUUGGAUAAAUCCUUAAGGUCAUCAUAUUAUAUCAUCGAUAUAAACCAAUUAUUUUUAUUAAAAUAAUAAUAUUUUUUAACUAGUCAAAAUAACCUUCCAUGUAUAAAAAAGAGGCCUUUUCUGCCAAGUGCAGGGGAGAACAUUCUGAAAAGUAAAUGAAUUAAUUAACUCUCUUGGUAUUCUAGUUUUGGCUUGAACGUAUUGACAUCCAUGACAAGAGGUGGAGGUUCCGAUGUUGUACAAGACAAAAAACUGAGUUGAUCACCUUAAACCAGUCCUGUCUUCACGAGGUUGGAUUGAGUUAGCCUAAAAAAAGGGAUCUCAAAAAAGGUGAUGAAGUCACCUUCUCUGUGGUGGACAUGAAGGGAGCUGAAGAUCUGGAAUUGGCAAUUCAAGCUCGGAAAAGAAUCAAGCUAUUCGGCCAAGAUUUUUGGAGUAAUCCUUUGUGAAGAAGAAGAAGAAGAAGCUACUCCUCGCAUAAAAUAUAGGUGUUGAUCGAUGUAGCUUUAUCUUCUAUCUUCUAGUAUCAGUUCUUUCUUUCUUUCUUGCCUUUUCUUUUUUUUUCUCCUGGGAAGGAAGGCUUGGGGGUGUUUGAUGCUAGCUAUCUCUUAAAAUGUCUCUCCUAGAACUUAGAAUCAUGUGAGAAAAAGAGUGAAUCUUCUAACCAAAUAUAUAUAUGUAUAAUAUAUCCUUACAAGAAAUAUUCCAUAUAUACUUUUUCUUAAAUUAUAAAUUAAAAAGAAAUUGGUUAUAACAUGGUUAACGAACACGCGAAAAUAAACAGGUGUAUUUCUUACACAAAUUCUUUUUUUUUUCUUACAAGUUUUUUUACCUGUCAAAAUAUACUCUUAUUUAUUUUUAUUUUUUCCAUUGGUAGCAUAUCAGUCCUUAAGGCGAGGGUAAUACUAUGUUUCCCAUUUGUAAGUGGUGGAGAUAUUGGAGGCCACUCUCCCUGGAAUCAAUUUAUUGCUGUUGAUAUUUCUUCACCGGCGAUCUUGGAAAGCCCAACAUGGAAUUCCAGUUCAUGGAAAAGGCAUGCAGCAAGGACCAUAUGUUCUUUGCAUUUGAAUGUUAGUAAUCUCGAGGUUUACUUGGUCAAUGAGGAUGGAACUACCUUGUCUACUUUGAUGCCAAGGUAUAGAUUUUGUGCACAGAAGAUUGCGUCUGUGAGUAAUAGCUAGAGCUGGUUGCCUAUGUACAAUUAGUGUGCUUUGGCAGGAAGACCCCGUGACUGGUCCUUGGAUAGCUGAGAAAGCCAAGUCUCUGGCAACUUAAGAGGAAUCCAGGAGCAGGAAAAAAAUCGAGGUGAAAGGAUAUGAAUUUGCUAGUGCAACUGCUGCAAAGGAUCUAGGAGACAUAAAUUUGCGAACCAGAGGAGAGUUAAUUUUGAGCUCUGCAUUCUUCUUGCAUGUUCAUCUGUUUUCUGUUGUGGUUGAUCUUAGCAGUUCUCAGUAUAGUAAUUUGCAUUUCCUUCUAGAUCAGAUGAUUAAUGGAUUAUCAGGCAUGGCCUGCGAUGUAGUCGGUGCUCCGGAAUCAACAAAGUUAACUCAUUGUAUUUUCAUAAAUUAAAAGGGAUUUCUCUUCUUUUCUUUGUCAAUUACAGUGCAUGUAUAAAAGUUUUCUUACUCCGAGUACACGCUAUUGUAAUGUGUUGCAACUAAUUCACUUAUAUAUCUUGGAAACAGACAGGCAAUCAACAAAGAGUAAGGCAUCUUCUGAAGAAACAAGGAAAUUUAAUACCCUAAACUAAGGAGCAGGUAGAAGGCAAAAACUGAGCACAAAUUUUUAGGAAGGGACAAACGAAAAAACCAAAAAGAAAGUAGAGAAAAAUACAGACUCAAAUUCACAACACCCAUUUUUUUUCUAUUGGAACACUUGAAAUAGUUUAUUAAAUUUAUAAUGAUGAUUUCUACGCAUAUAAAAAAAUCAACUUAAUAAUCAAUUCUCUAUAAUUUCCGCAUUACUAAAAACAUCCAAACUAAUUUUACUAAACAUUUUAGUUAUGAAUUCACCAAACAUUUUGAACAAUUCUUAUUGAUGAAUUAACAUCUCAAUUUUAGAUUUUUUGACUUAUUAGUUCCUUCAUGAGGUACUUGUAAAGCAUGCUAUAUAUAUCUCUAAGCAUUUUUAUAUAAUAUAAUUCUAUCAAAUUAACUUUUAUAGGAUGUAUACUAUAAAAUAUUCAUGCUUUAAAAUCUAUAAAAAUUAACUUUUUAUCAUUUUUGUAUAUUAACUUUUAGUUUUAGAAAUCUCAAUAUUAUUUUCAAUUUUGAUAAAUCUAGCAGAUCUAUUUUGUAUAGAUAGCCACAAAUUAAAAUCAAUAAAUUGACAAUAAAUUAUUAUAAAACAAUUUAUUGCUUGCUCUUUGGUGAUAGCAAUGUGAUUGUAAUACUAUUUUUCAAGUUUACUUAAUCUUUUAUUCUUGAUGGCAUAAUCAAGAAUAAAUAGUAAACCAAAAUUUAUAUGUUACUCUAUGUAAAUAAUUUUACUGCAGAAAUGUAGAAGAGAAGAAUUUUAAAAAAAUUGAAAGUUUUUUUUUUUUUUAUUAAAACCAUGUUAGAAUUACCUUUUUUAUAGGCAAUUCUAACAUUUAAUUUUAACAUAACCUUUAAGAUAAAAGAUUACAACUUUCUAGCUGAAAAGUACACGAUUUUAUUUCAAAUAGAAGAUGUAGGAAAACGAUCUCCCUUCUGCUGUCUGGAGCUGGGCUUCCUCUCCCUGUAAGAACAAGCAACAUCUUAUCUGCGUUGUUGUUAGUGGCCACUUCAUCGACCCAUUAGUGGGUGGAUUUUAAGAAUAAAAAGGUUUCUUUUUAGCGCAUCAUCACGUGAAAAGCAAGGAGCUUGCCACCCAUUAUAGAGUGUGGGGCACUCUUGCAUCUAAGAAUAUAUGAUCCUGAGGUUCUUCUGGUGAUGGGUAUUGGCCAUUACAUAAAGCUUCGACAAGCCCUUUUAGCUGCCUGUUAUUAGAAUUUGUAUAAUGAGCAUUCAAACUUAAACUUCUUUAAAUGGGAUGAAAACGAGUGAAAAUCAAGAAGUUGGAGGUGUUCAUCUCUAAUGCAUAGCUAAAGAUCCUUUGUAAGAAAAUACAGCUAAAGACAAAGUGUGUGUGUGUGUGACAGAGAAAUUGUCGAUAAUAGCAAUCAUUUUCUUUGUCUCGUGUCAUAUCUUCCAAAAAUCUUAAAGUAAUUGAUGAAAAAUUGGAUAUACCACUUUGUCUUCUUUAUAGCACUACUGGCCAAUAUGAGUUAAAGCAUUAAAAGGUCGUGAAAGUGGAUGCUUGACGAGCGAGUGUUUACUUGUUAAUUUUUUUAGAAGGAAUCUGGAAAAGAAUAAAGUCAUCUAUUUCACUUUGGGACAACAUUCCUCACCUCUCCCCGCCAGAGCUCCCUCCCUCCCUCCCUCCCUCUUCCGCCUCUCGGAAACCGCCGCAUCCAAUAAGGCUUCAGAUUUCUGCCAGGUGCUUCCUUUUCUAUCAUGCUUUUGUUUUUAAAAUUUAUGGGUGUUUUCAUUUAUUUUAUUGUAAUUAUUAUUCAGAGACAGAAAUUCUAUUUUAAUAAUUAAAUUAGAAAAAACAAAUAAUCGAUCCGAUGAAAUCUCUGCUAGUGAACGCAAUUCGAUUUUAAUAAGUAAAUUAAAAAAAUAUAUAAACGGAUCUGAUGAAAUCGCUGCUCGUGAACGCAAUUCAAAGAAACGCAGAGUUAGCCGAUUCUAAUAUUUUAUUUUUCAAUUUCCCCCUUAAUUUACAUGAUAUUAUCCGAUUUUUCUCACAGUUUUUGUUGUAAUAAUCAAGCCCUGAACUCUUGAACCCAAAUUUAUUUUAUUUUAUUUUUUAGUUUUAUUUUAAAGUUGAGAAUAGAAAUCAAUUCAAAUCUUUUAGGCUCGAUCGAUAAUUUGUUAAUUAGUUUAUGCAGCAGCUGGAGUGGAAGAGAUAUUACUGCCGGAAUGGCCGAAAAAUGAGCUGUUUGGUUGAUUCUUCUUUUUUGGAAUUUACCGAAUUCUUCAAAAUUAUUGUGUUUUUAACAACAAAUCGAUUUCGUUGGGUUUUAUGCUCGCUCACACAUGGAAAAAAGAAAGAAAGAAAAGAACUUUAAAUUUUAUAAUUUGGUCAUGUUAACGCGAAAAAAAUAAAAAUAACAGGUCUGCCUUGAUAACCCUACAUGAUAUAUCUUUCUUUUUAGGACUGCUCAGCUGGUCUUGAGUAUGAGGUGAAAGCUUGAGAGCAUGUGGAAGUGUAAAACAAAUGACUUAGUUCACUUCACCCCAAAGGCGUAGCUGUGCAUCUAGACAAUCUCUUUGGGAUGGGUUAUUGUUUGUGGCCUCUUCAUGUUCUAUUUGCUGGGAUAUUUAGACUGCUGAUAGUCAUCGGGGAUUGAAAAGCCUUGUUUUAUGACUCUGUUUUGUUUUCUUCUUCUUUCUUUAUUCUUUUGGGGAUGUGGUAUUCUCCUCGUUCUAUUUACACUAUUUGCUCCCUACAACAUUUAUUCUUUCAGAAAAGUUAAUAAUUGCAUAAAUAACAAGAACAGGAGGGGAGGGGAUUUGACUGUAUGUAUUUGCUUGCGAGUAAAAAUUGGUAAGCACCUGAAAAAGGUCCUGUGCUGAAUCUAAAUUGGUAAGAUGUGAUAUACUGAUAUCUAGAGAGAUAACUUAAUUUACCUAUUGAAGUAAAGCAUUUAAAUGCGUAUACAAUGUUUUUGGAACAUUAAAUAUCUAUUUGAUCAGCAUCUGUGAACCUAAAACCACAAUGAAUAGAAAUGCAAACUUGCAACAGCAGCAGCAGAAUAACCUUCAAAAUCUGCAGCAGCAGCAGCAGUUAAUGGCUCAACAAAAUAACCUCUCAAGCAUGCAUCAGCAACAGUUGGGCCCUCAAAGUAAUGUCACUGGUUUACAGCAACAGCCUCAGCCUGGUAACUCAAGCAUGCAAUCUAAUCAGAACUCUCUACACAUGCUGCAACAGCCCAAUGUUACGCUGCAGCAGCAAGCACAACAAAGUGGAAAUGCUUUGUUGCCGAAUCAAGGGCAGCAGUCACACUCACAGCUGCCACAGCAGCAAUUGAUGGCACAGAUUCAAUCACAGCCUGGACAGCUGCAACAGCAAUCAAAUCCAUUACAACGUGAUAUGCAGCAAAGGCUUCAAGCAUCAGGCUCCUUGCUUCAACAGCCGAAUGUGAUUGAUCGGCAAAAGCAGUUAUAUCAACCUCAAAGAGCCCUUCCAGAAACGUCCUCAAGUAAGUUUUUCUCAUCCUUGCAGCUCUCUAGCCUUGUUCCAACUUUAAUUUUGCAGCUUUGUGCUUUCAUGUUAGAUUAUAACAUAUUUAUUUAAAUUUCUUGAAAAUACAAUAAUGGUUCAAGUCAGUAAUGCUCUUUUGGUAGCUUUAUGAGCUAUGGCUGCCACUUAUGGCAUCAGAAAUGCCACUGCUAUUGGAGCCAUUGCAAACACAUACAUUUGUUACGACAUAAUGCCAUCCAGUGCAUUGCACCAACUAUUCACCUCUCAUAAUGGUUCAAGUCAGCAAUGCUCUUUUGGUAGCUUUAUGUGCUACUGAUGCCACUGCUAUUGAAACCAUUGCAUUCACACUCGUUUUUUACCACAUCAUGCCCUCCAGCUCAUCGCAUCAAUUGUUCACCUCUCAUUUUGAAUUUAUCGGACAUGAAUUUUAAAAAUAUAUGUAUAACUGGACAAUGCAUUUGACACUAUGGUAACUAAUCAUCAGCCAAUUGAUUUUUAUGGGAAGAAAGAAAUUAGCAAGUGGACUAACUCUGAGGCACUUAAGGUUUGGUGUGCUGAUAAAUCAUCACCUUGCUGGAAAAUCUCAUGAUCACCUCCUCGAUGCUAAUUCUGUAAGGCAUGUGAAGUGUUACAUCCUUAACUUGCUAAGGAACAAGGACUGUGAUGCAUGGCUAUCUAUAUUUUAUGAUUGAGAUGGUUUAUUUUAAAGAUUUUCCUGGUUAGGAGGUAAAGUGUCACUUUUGUGCUUUUCUUCCAUGAUAAAUUGUUUGAG